RNAcentral lists this long non-coding RNA (45112 nucleotides) under Medicago truncatula (barrel medic). Its description in RNAcentral is "long non-coding RNA (MTRU_LNC001328)". The record is from RNAcentral. Lineage: Eukaryota; Viridiplantae; Streptophyta; Magnoliopsida; Fabales; Fabaceae.
AUCCCUGGUUUCUUUCAACCAACCAUCAAAGUAAGCUUGAUUGGAGAUAGGGGUGGGUUUUGCUGUCUCAACUUGGCUAUCUUUUAACCAGCCAUCAAGGUAAGCCUGAUUGAAAUUGUGGGUACUCUUUACCUUUUGAUUAUUGGUAUUUUUCAACCAUCCAUCAAGGUAAACUUGAUCGGAUGUAGGGGUAGAUUUUGCUUUCUCAACUUGGGUAUCUUUUAACCAUCCAUCAAGGUAAACUUGCUUGGAGUUUUGUGCAGUCUUUUCCUUUUGAUCCUUGGUAUCUUUCAACCAUCCAUCAAGGUAAGCUUGAUUGGAAUUGUGGAUAGCUUUUUGGUUUUCGUCAGGAGUAUUUUUCAACCACCCAUCAAGGUAAGCAGAAUUAGAAUUACGGGUUGAUUUAUGUUGGUGAUCCAGGGUGUUUUUCAACCAUCCAUCAAGAUAACUUGGAUUAGAGUUAGGGGUGAGUUUUUUAUUUUUCAGUGGAGUGUUUUUGAGCCAGCCAUCAAGGUAAGGCUGAUCGAGUUGUUUUUCUUCUAUACUCUCUUGGUGAAGCUUCAUAUCUCUAGCAUAGCCUCUAUUUUCACUCUACAAUGCAAUUGAAUAAAGGGAUAUUAAUGAGUGACAACUUAAUUACAUGUUUAGGAUGAUAUAUAUGAUCACAUACAAACACAAGUGUUUUAUGUGACGCAUUCUGCUAGUGAGGUAACGUUCAUUAUGCAUAUAGCAGAUAGAUACAAAAUCUGAAACAAAGAAUAGAGGGAAUAAUACUCUUUUGAAUUUAGUUACAGCAAAUAACAUCAUUCUAUCGAUUCGAGUAGAUCAACUCGAAUGCGAGUGUGAAGAAUGCACAUAAAACAGCUAAAGAGGAGGAACUUAGAAGCAUGCAUUAAAUUCAAUGAUUAACAAUGUUAAUAAUGAUAUAAAAGCAUUUAAGAAUGCAUGCAAACUCACGAUUAACAAGAGCAUAAUAUGAAAGCAUUUAAGCAGGCAUGCAAAGUGAGUACUCACGAUUAACAAGAGCAUGACAAAUGUGAGGAGAGAAAGAACAACCCUGCGUUCCAUAUCUUUCUGCUAUAUUAAGUGUGGGAAAGCUGUUUUACUGCGAAAGAUGCACUGAAGUGGAAGUGAGCUUAGCUUUUUGUAAGCGAAAGAUUAAGAAAAGUACAAGUGAUGAGCUCAUUAAGCUUAGGUGAAUUCACAAGUUUUUCUAGAAGUCACUUAAUUGAAAAUUAACUCUUCAUCUUUGGUGAUUUGGGUUCGAGAUCGACACACUGUAAAAAGAACUUAUGUGAAUCCCUUCAUCAGCAGCUUUUAUUUUUUGACUUCCUUUUAAUUAUUACUAGUUUUUAUUGAAAAGACUUCCUUAUUAUUUUAUUUAUUUAAUUAGUUGUAUACGGGGAUCUUAAGUACUAAAUAAUCUGUUGAGCUUGGUAACGCAAGCUUGUGACCUAAGUAGGGGCAUUAAGAUGUUGGAAGGUCUUUGAUGUGUGAAAAAAAAAAAGAGUUGUGUUAUAUGUACAACCAAAAUUGAACAACUAAUGCAACAUCCUUUGAUAACGUGAGAAGCACGCAAAUCAAAAUUAUUAAAAAUAUAUUAAAAAAUUGCAAAAGAGUUGUUGGCUGUACCAAAAUGAUGUUCAUAUAUCAUUCAUUACUAAAAAAAAAAUACUAAAUGAACUAUUUAGUAGUACCCGGUGGCCGGUAGGACGGCUGAAACGAUAUACUAUGAAAUAUGGAUGUUAGUUACUUAGUCAGUAGUCAGUGAUAUCAAAGAAGGCCAAUGUGGCACAGCCACCUACGAUACUCAACAACACAUGAAGGGAACAUUUCCAUAUUUUGUGAAGACGAGGCCAGAACAGCAUACAUCAUGAAUCAUGACUUUUCGUUGUGGUACGAGAAACACCAAUAUAGUAGAGUACAGCAGUUGCAAUACUUAAGUAGAUAACCUGACAUAUGUGGAUAAUUUUAAUUAUUGUUAUAUUUAUAUAAAAAGCAGUAGUUGUUAAUGUAGUUGUUAAGGAUGUGUUUGGAUGAAAGAUUUCGAAAGGAAAGGGAGGAGAGAACUUAUUUUUCUUUUUCAAGUAUUUACAAUGCUAUUUACAGUGAUUUUUUGAUUUAACGUUAAUUUAUCAAAUUUGACCAUAAUCGAAUGUUUAAUCGCUUAGAAUAAGUCGUUCAGUUGGUAUGAACAAUACAUAAUACAUGCAAGGCGUUUAAAUUCCGGCCACUACCAAAAAAAAAAAUGGCUUAGAAUAAAGUUCAACAAAUGAUGUAGCAAUCUUAUUGACAGAUCUAGUAAUUUGACAAGCAGUGUGUGUAACAACAAGUGUUGUAAUGGAAACAAUAUCGAAUUACGAGAACUAAACUAAGAGUUUGUGAGGAGUUAAAAGAGAGAAACAUACAAUUAGUACUUUGUAUUAGGACGAAUAUCAAUAACCAAAUAAAACAAGUGUAAGCUAAAAACAUGGAGGGUUUGAAGUAGUAAUAAUAAAAGGACAUAUUGAUGAAAUAGAUGACAAGCAACGUCUGCAAUCAAAGCACCACAACUGACAUAGCUUCAAACAGAGAUGAUGAAAUAAAUUUUAGUUUAAAAAUAUGGGACUGAAAAGUUAUCCGAAUGAUCAAAUAACCUGCAGGGAAAACGAAAAUGACUCCAAAUAAAUUUGAAGAAACGCCAAGAACUGUAUCACAUUUUAAAGGUGGAUCAAUAAACUAUGUUUGGGAUCACAGAAACAUAAUGUGGAACACCAAUGGAAGUCAAACAAUGAAUCUCCAUGUACUGAUACUAUACUAGAACAUUUCAAGUUCUCUAUCAGACAUUUUAGGCCAGGAGUCACCAAAAAUUGCUUUGGAAAACUAAUUUAUGCCGUUCCUGAAAAAUUUACAAUCAUCUAAGGGCACAAAGAAUCAGACACUGUUGAAGCCGAAAGACGACUUGCAUAUUUUGUUGCUUCCACGUUUGAUCAUAAAAACAUCAGGGAAAUGAAAUUGCCACCCUUGGACAACAAUGGAAGUGUUGAUCACACAAAGACAAAGCAAACAAUUGUUAAGGAAACUUCAUAAGUCGGGUAAAGUUUAAUUUGGACCCAUUGAAAAAUUGAUCCAACUUGGACCAAUUAACUUAGACCAUUGAUCAAAUAAGAUGUAUAGAUUUUAUAGUAGUCCAUCUGCACAUGAGUUGCUCUCUCACUCUUCCAGUAUCUCUCUCUCCUUUGAUACACCAUCACCAACAUUUUCUUUUCUCAUUCUUGUGCUCAGCUAUUGGCAAUUUCUUUGGACUUUACAUUACCAAAUUAACAUCGAUUCUCUAGAUGUUUACUCACCAGCAUCACCCCUCCAUUCACUCCAACCACCACACUGAUAAGCAUGUUCCAUUCCAAAAUACCAACAACCAUAACUCACAAACAAUGUGAAGAGAUUGAAGACAUAAAUAUUUUUUGCAUUAAUGUAAUUUGAUUGAGUGUGGUUAGUGUUAAAUGGCCUAAGAUUUCAACCCAAAAGUUAGCUUGUUCUGAUAAAUAAAACUGGUUUUUUCAACAACAAUUCUUACGGUGCCAUUGGUUUUUUCUACAUCCAUGUUUAUCAUUUUUGUGUCCACUUUGUUUGUUAUUUUCAACUACCACUAUCAGAACCAAAAUCUCAAAUUAAAUCAAGCUUCAGUUGUGGUUUAAUUUUAUUUAUUUGUACACAUAAUGAUGGAUAAUACAAAAUUUUAAAAGGGUAAAUUGAGAUCUGAAAAACAAUGGAUGGCAUGAACUAUGAAUGAGAGAGAAAAAUGAAUUUGUGUAUAAAUGUAACAAAAAAGAUCAGGGAUUCUCCAGCAAGAAGAAGGUUGGAGAGAGAAAGCAGAGGAGGAAAAGGGUUUUGGAGAGAGGAAGAGAAGAAUGAGAAAGAAUAAAAAUAAGAGAAUUGCUCUUCUCACAUAUAGUAUGGCUGUGCCACACGAGUAAAAUACCAAAAUGCCCUUUCGGCAGUUAACUGCCGAAGUUUUGAGUGAACCGGCGGCAGCAAACUACCGAGGAUUUCCUCGGCAGUUAAAAUUGAACAUAACCAGAACGCAGAAACUCAGUUUUCCAGUAUUGCUUGCUUCUUCAAAACUUCUUCCAAACCAUCCAACUUCUCCAAAUUCGAUUUUUCAGCAAAAUCAAGUGCAUCAUCUCCAUUUAAUCACAAGUAAGUAUCUUGACUCAUUUUUAAUCAUAAUGUUAGUUUGGGUAGGUUUUUUUUAAAAAAAAAUGGUAGUUUUCAUGUGGUUAGGGUUAAUGUAUGAAUUGAAUUUUUUAUGAGUGCAUGUAGUUUAUAAUUGAAUGUAGUUGGUUUAAUUGAUGAUUGAAUGAUGUUAGGGUAUAAUGUGGUUUUGAUUGGUGGCAAAAUAACACAUUUUGAGUAUGUUUGAUACUUUGCACACAAAGUGUUUGAUAAAAUGUGUCAAUGACAAUUUUAUUGAUUAUUUAGUUAGUUUAGGUAUUGGAUACGAUCUUGAUUGUAAUUCGAAAACGUGUAUGUUGAAUUAAGUUGAAUGCAUAUUGAAAAAGUGUAUAUUGAAUUAGGUUGAAUGUGUAUAUUGAAUUAUGUUUAGUGUAGGUUGAAUGUGUAUGAUAAUGCAUUUGAUUUUUUGCGUUUGAAUGUUAAUGAUAAUGUGUAUGAUAAUGUUUAGGUUCAAUCAAUGUCUUUAUUUUGGUAAAGUGGUUUAAUGUGAAAGCGGUUAUGUUUAGGUUAUGUUUAGGUUGAAUGUGAAAGUGUAGGUUUUGUUUAGGUUUACUGUUUGUUGAUAAAGUGGUUGAAUGAUAUUAAUUUUUAUUUUUUAUUUUUUGUAGAUAUGGCCGAUCAGGACCCCAUUGAUCCAUCGAGGAUGAUUGGUGGUAGGCGUGCCAUGACUCAGAGCCACCGCGGGGAGAGACAGAGUGCCCACAUCCCAAAGAGGGGUAGAGGUCGGAGGGGAGAUGACUCAGGAAGCUCUCAGGCUACACAGCCUGAGGAGUCACAGGUUGUUGACCCGUCACAGCCUGUUGACCAGACUGGGGUGGAGUACCUGAACUAUCAGGAUCAGGUACAUCAUGAUGUGACGGACGGUGGAUAUGACCAGGAUCAUAUACCACAUGAGCAGGAUGCAGGAGACGAGGAUGACAUUGCAGCAGCUGCUGCACCGGAGGUGUUACCUACGGACCCUCCCUUUCCUGGUGGACCGGCUGACUUGUCCUUGCUCCACUCUUAUGCCGGUCAUGUGGCGUUGCCACUCUGGUAUAAUUCAAAUAAUGUAAGUGUAUUUUUUUUAAUUGUUUUUUCUUUAUGUUAAAAUAUUUUCUUUAAUUUAAAUGUGUGUUUGUUUAAUUAUUAUAUCCACUUUUAUAUGUGUUUUUUUUAAUUGGUGUUUCUUUAUGUUAAAAUAUUUUCUUUAAAUGUGUGUUUGUUUUUAUUAUUAUAUCCACCUCUAUAUUUGUUUUUUUUAAUUCUUUUUCUUUAUGUUUAAUUAUUUUCUUUAAAUGUGUGUUUGUUUUAAUUAUUAUAUACACUGUUAUAUGUUUAUUUUUUUUAAUUCUAUUUUUUAUGUUUAAUUGUUUUGUUUAUAUGUGUUUUUGUUUAAACCAAAUUUAUUUUUCUAUUAUUUCAGGUUCGUAAUACCCGCGUGCUUAAACCGAUUAAUCAUGGGGCGAAGAUUCUCACUCUCGGACGCCCUAACGGGAAUGAGAAUUGGUUUUGGGAUGCGCUUCAGCAGAGCGGGCUACAUGACUUGGUCUACUUGGGGUACUCCACCGUGCCUCAUGCCCUGCUGCUUACUUUAUGCGAGAGGUGGCAUCCGGAGACCAGCACCUUCCACAUGCCGAUGGGGGAGAUGACUGUGACAUUGGAUGAUGUCGCAUGUCUCAUGCAUCUUCCUAUUGAGGGGCGGAUGUUGGCCCAUGGGAAGAAGAUGCCCAAGCAUGAGGGAGCGGCACUGCUGAUGACGUAUCUUGGUGUGGCCCAGCAUGAGGCUGAGAAGAUCUGCAACCAGGAGUACGGUGGGUACAUUAGCUACCCCAGGCUGAGGGACUUCUAUACCUCGUACCUUGGUAGGGCCAACGUAUUGGCGGGUACGGAGGAUCCUGAGGAGGUUGAGGAGCUGGAGAGGGUCAGGACAUACUGCGUCCGGUGUUACCUUCUGUACUUGGUCGGAUGCUUGUUGUUUGGCGAUAGAAGCAACAAGCGCAUCGAGCUGAUAUAUUUGACGACCAUGGCAGACGGCUACGCAGGGAUGCGUAAUUAUUCCUGGGGAGCUAUGACCCUCGCCUACCUAUACGGCGAGUUGGCGGAUGCAUGUAGGCCUGGACACAGAGCGCUUGGGGGGAGCGUGACACUGCUCACUGUAAGAAAACUGAAAUUUUAUAUUUAUGUUAACUUUAUUUUUUUGUGAACUUUUAAUUUUUUGUUAUAUUUUUCCGUGCGUAAUAAUUUAUAAAUGUUAUUUGUUUGGUUUGUGCAGGCAUGGUUUUUGGCGCAUUUUCCAGGGUUUUUCAGUGUUGAUCUCAACACUGACUACCUGGAAAACUAUCCGGUUGCAGCGAGGUGGAAGCUCCAGAAGGGUCAUGGGGAGGGGAUCACGUAUCGGUCACUGCUCGAUCGUAUACAGUUAGAUGAUGUAUGCUGGAGGCCGUACGAGGAGCACAGAGAGAUCCAGGACUUCGAGGAGGUUUUCUGGUAUUCUGGAUGGAUUAUGUGCGGCGUCCGUAGGGCGUACCGUCACUUGCCCGAGAGGGUUUUGAGGCAGUACGGAUACGUGCAGACCAUCCCCAGACAUCCGACUGAUUUUAGGGACCUCCCCCCGCCUUCCAUUGUGCAGAUGUUCAUCGACUUCCGCACUCACACGCUUAAGGCGGACGCUCGGGGUGAGCAGGCAGGAGAGGAUACAUGGCGGGUGGCGGAUGGCUAUGUCCUGUGGUACACUAGGGUGUCUCACCCUCAGAUCUUGCCACCUAUUCCAGGAGAUCUUCCGAGGCCUGCAAAUGAAGAGCAGAUCAUUGCAGAGCAGUGGCAGCGGUAUGAGGCGAGAAGCUCGCCUGACACCUAUGACAUGGUUAGUGGCGCUGUUGCCUAUGCUGAUGCGCAGUUAGGCCAGGAGGAGGUCAUGAGCAUGACCCCUCAGCAGUGGUAUGAGGCCAUGACCCAUAUGAGGGAGCAGAUCGCGCCGAUUUUGACCAGGAGGAGAGCCCAGAGGCCGAGGAGGAGGCACCAUCAUCAGGAUCAGGACCAGUAGUACUAUUUUCCUUUUUUAGGACUUAUUUUUUAGUUUUAGUCUUUUGAUGACAUUGAGUUAUGUAUAUAUGUAUAUUUGUAUAUUUGUAUAUUUCUACUUUGAUGACAUUAUUUUUAAUUUCAUGGGUUUUUUUUACUUUGUUUAAUGUGCAAAAAUAGGUUGCUUUAAUGUGCAAAUAUAGGUUGCUUUAUGAACAUAAAACAUAAAAAUAAGUUGAGAGUAGGAAAAAUAGGGACGAGAGAGAACUUGAGAGAACUUGACAGAAUAUAAUAUAAGUGUCCCGUUGAUUUGCUCGCAAUUCGUGAAAGAAGAAUUGGCGAAGAUUUGAGAGAACUUGAGAACUUUGUGAAGGUUUUCCUCGGCAGUUAACUACCGAGGUUUUCUACGACAGUUUUCUUCGGCAGUUAACUGCCGAAAUUUUCUCAAAUCCGGCUGCAGUUAACUGCCGAGGAAAACCUCGGUAGUUAACUGCCGAGGAACUUCUGCACUACAAAAUCUGGCAGAAUCUCCUCUCAUCCAUUAUUGAUCUUAUCUUCCAAAAUUUCUUCAAAUGUCUCUCAAAUUCUCUCUAACAAACACAACCAAAUCCAACAAACUUUAUUCAACAAAAUCACAAGUAAGUAAUUAUAAUGCUAUUAACUUACAUUUUAGUUGUUAUAAAUGUUAUUAUUUUUUAGUUUUUGAGUACAUUUAUUAUUUUUUAGUAGAUUUACAUGUUAUAAUUAAAUUUUAGGGUAUAUGUUAGUUGAUUAAUGUUGUUAAAAUAUUUGCAUGAUGUUUAUGUUAUAUGAUAUAAAUUUUUUUAUUUUAGUAAGAGUAUAUGAUUUAUAAUUUUAGGGUUAUUUUUAUGAAUUUUAGAGUGUAUGUAUAAUGUGUUUUUGAUUGAUUGUUUUUAGUUUCUUAUUGUGUAGAUUUAAAACAAUGGCGGGGUGGAUCGACGUUCAUGUGCAAUUCAACGGCGGAGAACCUCAGAGGUUGAAGGUUCGGUGCCUUGGUGUAACGUUAAGAGGUCUCAAGGAUACACUGACUGAAUUCAACCAAGGAGUCAACCCCAGAGACACAAGGAUGGUGGAACACAUUUGGUAUAAACGUCCAACACUCGACGAGGGGAGAGUAUCAUUCAGUUGGGUGGAAUUAACGAACGACGAAAACGUGACGACCAUGUUUUGGGAGCACAGCAUGUUCCAGUGGAUCGAUAUGCGGGUGAAGUUGCUUAGAUCAACUGAAGAUAUCAUCAAAAGUUUGAUUCCGCCACAAGAUCGUCAUUAGUUAGGGUAAGGUGCAUUCCAACUACAACAAUUGUAUUCCUUUGAAUGAGGUAAUUCAAACUUGUCAAACAACAGGACUCAAGCAUUUCGCAAGCACCUCAUGUUUCUCCUUUGAAAAUAUUAAAUUUUUGUUAUGCUGGUUUAGAUGAAGGUAUUAAGUGUCAAGGAUUGAACCUCAAUUCGGUGGCACUUGAAUACCAUCAUCUAAAGCAAGCCUCACAAAAAUUUAUUAUUUUCAAAGGGAAAACAUGAGGUGUUUGGCGAAAUGCUUGAGUCCUGUUGUUUUGCAGGUUUGAAUUUAUCCCAUUCAAAGGUAACACAAUUGUUGUGGUUGGAAUGCACAUUCCAACUGCAACAAUUGUCUUACCCUGGAUGGGGCAAUUCAAACUUGUUAAUCGGCAGGACUCCAGUAUUCGAUGAGCAUCUUGGACAAUGGUAUUCAAGUGUCAAGGAAUGCACCUCAUUCUUUUGACACUUGAAUACCAUCGUUCAAGAUGCUUAUCGAAUACUGGAGUCCUGCUGCUUAGCAAGUUUGAAUUUGCCCCAUUCAGUGGUAAGAUGAUUGUUGCAGCUGGAAGGUAAAUUUCGGAAUGUAAUGUAAAAUGCAAUGUAAUGUGAUAACAUAUAUUUUGUUUUGAAUGGAACAAUAAUUAUCUUAUUUUGUUUUCAAAUUUAUUUAUUCCAAAUGCAAUUUUAUUCUAAAUACCAUAAUGUCAAACAAAAUGUGUGCGACACAAAAAUAAAACAUAAAAAAAUCCAAAACAAUUAGGCAUUAAAAGCCAUUACAUUCAUUCUUCCUCGUCACACAAAUCAAUCGGCUUGUCCGCUACAGUCCCUGCGGUACCUUGUUUUGGUUGAGGACCGAAAUAGCAUGUCCUCCCGCUCCUCCUCAACCUCGAGUGAUUGUACACCGGCACCUUCGAACCCUUCUUUUUUUCGGAACCAUCGCAAACAAUUCCAUGCCAUGUCAUAGGUGACUUUUCUUUUUUCGUCUCAUCAUCGUGAACGUUACCCUGAUUCUGAUUCUGAGACAUAUCUACAUUUAAAAAAAUAUGGCGAUCAAUUCAACCUACACUAACCUAAACUAUCCUAACAAUUCUAACAAUUCUAACCUAAACUAUCCUAACAUAUCAUAAAAUCAACAAAUCAAUAUAAUUGAACCUAUAUAAUCGAAAUUUAACAAAAAAUAACAUACAAUUCGACCACAAAGCAACUAUUGCAUAGAAUUCAAAAAGCUUACUUGUUUUUGUGAUUAAAAUUGGCUUCUAAUGGCUUCAAAUGACUCAAAAUCGCACCUUCAAAAAUUAAAAACGCAACAAUGGAGUUUUGGAAACUCCUAUGAAGUUCUGAUCUUAUAACAUUCUCCUCGGCAGUUAACUACCGAGGUUUUCCUCGGCACUUAACUGCCGCCGGUGUCCUAAAAACCUCGGUAGCAAACUGCCGAGGGGCAUUUUGGUAUUUUACUCGUGUGGCACAGCCAAACUAUAUGUGGGAACAGCAAUACUCUAAAAAUAAAUAUUCAUGAGUAGAAGAAGUCCGAUAUAAUGGAGUGAAUACAUGGUAAGAUCUAUAAGCUUGUGUAAUUUAAUGGUCAGAAAUCUUGAUCCAAUAUGGACCAAUACAUGUAUGGGUCCAUCCUAAACGCCACCCAUAAGUCGUGCUUUCCACCAUUCAAGAUUUACCUAUCCUUACUCAAUAAGACAAAGAUGUUGUUAAGGAAUUGUUGAAAAUACACAUGGAGGCACAAAUUCAUAAUUUGUAAACUUCAUAAGUCGUGCUACCAAAUGUGUUUCCCUUACCUCUUCCCAUUUCCACCAAAAUCCUAAAAGAAAAGAAAAAAAUGAAAAUUGGUAAAAAUUGUAGAUCUUCCCCAACACCUGAUAAGUGCUAAAUUUACAACACGUUUGGAUUCGAAGAAAACAUUGUAGAGAAAUUUCACGAAAUUUGACUUCGCCAAGUGAAAUCAAGUCAAAAACAUUUAUUUAAAUAUUUGGUGUUAACUCUUCAGCUUUUAAGAGUAAAGGGUCAUAGUAAUUUAUAUUUCAACAAGAAAGUAAGUAAAUGAUGAUCAAGAAUUGUUCCACUGAGAAUUAAACCGGCUUUUUCUGAAUAAUUUAUGUUAAAGGAAACUCAUUAACCAGUUGAGCUCAAUUCACUUUACACUUUAAAAUGAAUUGUUAAUAAGCCAAAUCUCAUUUAAAAUAGGAAGUGUUCAAUUAUUUUGGCUCUUACCGAGCAUAUAUGGAACAUGAGUUUUCCUUCAAUAUCAUAAUAAUGAUUUGCGUAUCGAACAUGAUUUGAAAUUCUAGUACUCCUACCAAGGCCACAAAGAGUAUUUUAUUUACAUAAAAGAGCAUGUUAAAGUAUUUGGCUUGAAAUAUAUAACUAAUUUUGAUACAACUCUUUUUCUAUUUCAUAACUGAAUAAUGCGAGGGAGCUGGGACGGAUGCAUGUUGUAUAGUUUGUGGGCUUGUGCCGACACAAAGUUUUUAGAAACAAUUUUAUUGGUAGUAUAAUGUAUUAAUCACAUAGACCACAUUUAUCACAAAUAAUUUAUCUCUUGACCGAUACUUAUCAUCAUAUAUCUCAAACUAUUAUUAAGAUUUGGAUACGAAAUCAAGUCGGAGAUGACCGGUUAAAUAAUUGUUUAGUUAUUUAUAUAGAUAAAAUGUUUUUUUUUAUUGAUAUUGAAAAUGAGAAAAUCAUUCAAAGUUUCCAUAAUAUGAAUAAUCGUAGAGGACAAUUUUUAAUGCUACAAAUUUUUAUAUAUAGUGCCCCCACUAGGGCUGGCAAUGAACCGAACCAACUCGAUUAAAGUUCGUAAUUCGAUUCGACAAUUGAUUCGUUGAACUUGGUUCAUAAACCAAAUGAGCCGAACUUGAGCUGAAAAUUAAGUUCGUCAAAUAAUUGAGCCGAACUUGAACUAUAUGUAGUUCGACUCGUUUGGUUCACGAGAUGACUCGAUUAUAUAUAUACUUUAAAAACUAAGACAAACACUUAGCAAUAAUAGGAUAAAAAUGAGCUACAUUAAAAUUGAUAGACAACGUCGUGCACAAUGUUGUUGUAGUUUUUAAGGAUUUUAAAACUUAAAUAGUCUCGCAUCAAAACAUCCAUGAAAAAUGAAGAAUAUGAUUAUCUAUAAUAAGAGAAACGUAUGCCACAAGAAGGCAAAACUUGAUUUGGUGGUUGCAUACCAGUGUUAAUUACUAUGUGCAAUAAUAGCCUCGUCUAGUCCAUUAAAAAUUUGUAUAAAUUUCAAUAUAUUUAUGGGUCAAAAAUUUUAAUUCUUUGACUUUUGAGUUAUGCGGUUCAAAUGGCUUUACUCAUUUUCAUACCUAAAGUUAUGUGCUUUGAACAAACGAAUUGAACCUAAUGAGCCGAACUAAACUGUUCGUGAACUUUAAACGAGCCGAACUUGAGCUGGAAAAAAAGUUCGUGUCAAACUCGAACCGAGCCAAUUCUUAACGAGUCGAGUUGAACUCAGACAGGUUCGAUUCGACUCGACUCAUUUCCAACCCUAACCCCCACUAUUCAAAAAUCCUGGAUCCGUCACUCAGAGGGAGAGGCUUGGGAUCUUUAACUUACUCUUCAAUCGGAUUGCAACCUUUUUCGUCUUAGAAAACAUACGUGAUAUAAUAAUGAUAAGGGUUAAAUAAGUUUUUCGUUCUUAUAACUAUAAAGAAUUUUGAUUUUAGUCCCUAAAAAAUUAAAUUGAAUGUUUUCAUAUUCACAAAUUUAUUUUUUUUGUUUUUGGUCAUUAAUGACCACUUUAUGUUCAUGUGAACGUCAAAAUUAUAACUUUUUUAUGCUCAAAUAGUAUCAUUAUAUGUCUAUUUAUUAUGUUCAAUAUUUAUAUAUUCAUACUAUGUUCAAAAAAUAUAUCAAAAUUAUAUGUAUUAGGGACUAAAAAUAAAAUAAUUUUUUUUUUUAGGAUGAAAACAUUUUAUUUUAAUUUUUAGGAAUGAAAAUCAAAGUUUGAUAUAUUUAUAGAGACAAAAAAUUUAUUUAACCCUUAAUAAUAUUAUUUGUAACAGAAAACGCAGUUCCUUCAUCAUCACCCGCCACAAACAUUCAGAAAUUCCGCUGCAAGGUUUUCUUUCUUCUUCUCUUCUCUUCUCUUGUAGCGAUUUCAUCCAAUCUAUUUCUAAUUUCAAUUUUCUUAAUUUCAACUUCAAUUCACACUUAAUUGCUACUGCAUUGGCUACGUUCUUUCUUGAUGAUUAAACUAACCUCACAAUCUCAAAUUCAAUUCAUACCUAAUUAAUUCAACUUCAUUCUUUCUCAACUCUUUUUCUUCACGAUCAUGAAUUCUAGCACUUAAUGUUCUGCUUUCUAAUUUGUUCUCAGAUUUAUCUUACCUUUCUUCGUUUAACAUGAAUAAACAGGAUCAAUGGACAGUGUGGUUGAUUCUCUAAAAAACGCCUAUCAAGAUUUUGUUGAUGCAGCAGCAACUGUGCUGGAAGCAAGCAACAUUUCCGGUGCCCUUGAUACCGCAGCAACAGAUACCGCUCUCAAAAGCUUUAAACAAAAAUGGGAAUUGUUUAAAGUAGCAUGUGAUCAAGCCGAGGAGUAUGUGCAGUCUGUAAAGCAAAGGGUAGAAUCAGAGAGUUUAGUAGUGGAUGCAGAGAUGUUGUUGGAAAGCAUAGAGAAGCUACAUAACUGAUUAAUGCACAUAUAUGAGGUUAGUCGUGCGUUGUAGAAUUUUGAACUGAUUUUGUAUGUGCGCAAUGGUGGCAUAUGUAACAUUGAAAUUAGUGAGAAUCAUCUUGAUUGAGUGAUGGAUAGGUAUACUUCUUUGUAGUGUGCUAAGGUUAAUGCCACGGCACUCAUUGGUGUAGCUGCUUUAUUGAACCAUUGAUGCUCAGUACUCUUAGCUCAAUACAUUGUAUGUUAUCUUUAGAUUUGUUUUAAUUUUGCUAAUACAUUGGGUUUUUGAAACCAAAAGAAAUCUCUAUAUGUUUGAUAUGGUUUAUUUGAAUAUAUAUAUAUAUUUAUAGUCACACAUUGGUACUGAAAAAGAUACAACGUGCGACUAGAUUGCGAGUUCAAAUUAAAUAAGUGACUAUAUACAUCAAUUUAACUCCCAAUAAUAAAAUAUGGCACCAGAUUAGUCUUUUGAUAAUCUCAUGGUCUAUAUAGAAAUUAUUAUAAUGUCAUCUUCAUGAUUGCACAGCUAGCUAAAUUUAAUACGCAGAAACAAUACCUUAAUUAGUACACAAACACGGCCUUAAUUAGCACACAAACAAGACCUUAGUUAUUUAGUACGCAGAAACUAGACCUUAAUUAGUACACAAACACGGCCUUAAUUAGUACAUAAACAAGACCUUAAUUAUUUAGUACACAGAAAUUAGACCUUAAUUAGUACACAAACACAACCUUAUUUAGCACACAAACAAGACCCUACAAUACAUAGAAAAUCAUAACAGUUAAACACCAUGAAGCAUAGGGAAUGACAUAGAAAUAUGAUCAACUAGUUCCCUUUGGUUCAGUGGGUGGCCUCUGGUGGGAGUGGUGCCCAUAGAACAUGCUUUACAGGGAAGAAAUGGCACAUAGGAGCUUCCCCAGGCUUUAUUCCAAGUAGUUGAAAUAUAAAAUGAUUAGGAUUCAUGUCAGACGUGUCUAGGUGGCAAAUGCCCAAAGCAUCCAUUAUGUCUCCAUAUUGACCCUUUAGAAGAACUUUGAAGACCUUACUCCCUAUGUCUAGGUAGUGGCAAUAGUAAAGAGCAUAAGGGUAAGGCCUAGGGUGACAAGCUACCCAUUUAGGAGCAUAGAUAUCCUUUGAGAUUUUCAAAAUGGUGUAGUUCUGCAAACGUGCACCUGAUGUUGUGGGAUAGCUAGUUGUGUGAAUGUUAUAUCUGGCCUCAGUACCAAGAACACUAUGAACAAAUUCAAGCAUGGACUCUAAUGAAGUAGGACAAGCUUUGGUCUCCCCUUUUGUGGGUUCAAAUUCACAUUGAUCAAUUAUGUCUUUCAUGUCUUCACCUUGGGGGGAAUCUUUUGUGAGAGAGAAGAGUUGAAGAAGGCUUGGUAGUUGUGACUUGGAGAAAGGAAUGUAGUCAGCUACUUUUUUUGGCAAGAAGUUAGCAUAUUCUCUGACAGGAAAUUGCAGCGUCAUUACGUUCCCUACAUAAAGAUCAUCCAUAGUGAAAAAAGCUAACUUGAAUGCCUCUGUAUGGUCAACUUUAGAAGAUGGUUUCCCUUUUGAUUCUGCCAUGUCUUGUCCAAUUUUCUUCAUGGAGUUCGCUGCAUGCGAGUCUUUCAACCAACCAUCAAGGUAAGCCUGAUCUAGGCUGUGAAUUGGUUUUUUCAUUUGAUCCUUGGCAUCUUUCAACCAUCCAUCAAGGUAAACUUGAUUGGAGUUAGGGGUGGAUUUUACUUGCUCAACUUGGCUAUCUUUCAACCAUCCAUCAAGAUAAACUUGAUUGGGAUUUGGGGUCGAUCUUGCCUUGUCAACUUGGCUAUCUUUCAACCAUCCAUCAAGGUAAACUUGAUUGGAGUUAGGGGUGGAUUUUCCUUGCUGAACUUGGCUAUCUUUCAACCAUCCAUCAAGAUAAGCUUGAUUGGAGUUUGGGGUCGAUUUUGCUUUCUCAAGCUGGGCAUCUUUCAGCCAGCCAUCAAGGUAAACUUGAUUGGAGUUAGGGGUGGAUUUUCCUUGCUGAACUUGGCUAUCUUUCAACCAUCCAUCAAGAUAAGCUUGAUUGGAGUUUGGGGUCGAUUUUGCUUUCUCAAGCUGGGCAUCUUUCAGCCAGCCAUCAAGGUAAACUUGAUUGGAGUUAGGGGUGGAUUUUUCUUUCUCAACAUGGCUAUCUUUCAACCAUCCAUCAAGAUAAACUCGAUUGGAGUUGUGGGUGGGUUUUGCUUUCUGGACCCGGCUAUCUUUUAACCAGCCAUCAAGGUAAGCCUGAUUGAGGUUGUGGAUAGUUUUUUCCUUUUGAUCUUUGGUGUCUUUCAACCACCCGUCAAGAUAAACUUGGUUGGAGUUUGGGUUGGAUAUUUCUUUCUCAACUUGGCUAUCUUUCAACCACCCGUCAAGGUAAACUUGGUUGGAGUUUGGGGUCGAUUUUGCUUUCUCAACUGGAUCUUUCAACCAUCCAUCAAGGUAAACUUGAUUAGAGUCAGAGGUGGAUUUUGCUUUCUCAACUUGGGUAUCUUUUAGCCAUCCAUCAAGGUAAACUUGAUUGGAGUUAGGAGUGGAUUUUGUUUUCUGAACUUGGGUAUCCUUUAACCAUCCAUCUAGGUAAACUUGAUUGGAGUUGUGGGUGGUCUUUUCCUUUUGAUUCUUGGUAUCUUUCAGCCAUCCAUCGAGGUAAACUUGAUUGGUGUUGUGGAUAGCUUUUUUGUUUUCUUCAGGAGUGUCUUUCAACCAUCCAUCAAGAUAACCUGGAUUAGAGUUUAGUUUUUUGUUCGUCAGUGGACUGUUUUUAAGCCAGCCAUCAAGGUAAGGCUGAUCGACUUGUUUUUCUUCUACAUUCUCGUGCUGAAGCUUCAUAUCUCUAGCACAGCUUGCAUGGCCAUUCUACAAUGCAAUUGAAUAAAGGAUAUUAAUGAGUGACAACUUAUAUUCAUGUUUUGGAUGAUAGACAUGAUCACAUAACUAAGCAUAACUAAGUGUUUUAACUUUUAUGUGACACAUUCUGCUGCACUGUGAAGACACGUUUAUUAUGUAUACAUCAGAUGGAUACAAUUCGGGUCAACCACUAUUUUGAUCUUUAAAUGUGAGACAAUUAAUGGAUGCGUUUGCUUUAGCUUUAAAAAAAUAAUUUGAUUUUGUGUUAAAAAAAUCUCUGUUUUUUUUUUAAAGUUAUUUAUGUUUGUUUAAUACAAAUAUUUUUUUUAACUAGUUCAUGUGUUACUCCCUUGUUUUUGACCAAAAUAAAUUUUGGGAAAAACUAAUUCUAACGGUUUUUCAUUUUAAAGUCAAAAAUGAUUUUUUAAAAAUCCUAAACAAACACUUUAAAAUGACAAAAGUAAGUUUUUUUUUUUUUAAUAAAAAAUCCUAAGCAAACUUAUCCAAUAUCAACAUAGUCUUUCCUUUCAAAAAAAAAAAAACAUAGUCUUUGAAUGUAUGAAAGUUACAAACAUUUCCUCUAGUAAGUAAGUAAUUUGAAGGAUUGAAUUGACUAAUGAGCAAUAUUGAAAGACUGGUGAUUAACUAAAGACACAUUUGAGAACUAAAUUGAGUUAUAAAAAAAAAAGAUUUUGGCAUGUAAAAUAGUUAUUUACCCGAUGCAAACCUGAACCUGUAAAUAUCAUUUUAUCACAUCUAACGGAUCAACUCGAAUGUGAGUGUGAUGACUGCACAGAAAACAACUGAGUGUAUCUUAAGAAACAUGCAUGCAUUAAAAGAAACAUGCACAAUAGCUAAUAAAGGCGAAUAUUAAUGAUGGAUUAUGAUAAGUAAUAAACGAUGAAAAGUGCAAAUGUGAAAGAUACAAGCAUGCAUGCAAAUUGAGUAGAGUAACUCACGAUUAACAAGAGCAGGACAAAAGGAAGGAGAGACCGAACAACUUUGUGUGUCAUAUCUUUGAGCUAUACUUUAAUUAUGGGAAAACUGUUUUACUGCGAAAGAUGCUUUGAAGUGGAAGUGAGCUGAUCCUUUUAUAAGUGAGCGAGAAGAAAAAAUACAAAUAAUGAACACAUUAAGGGUCUGUUUGGUAAAUAACCAUAUAGCUUAUAACUCUUUUGAAGGAGUAUCUCUUAUAACUUAUAAGUUCAUCAUACUUCAUAUGACUAAAAAAUAUCCGUUUAAUAAUUGUCAUUUUCUCUUGAGUUUAUGACUUAUUUUUAUUUACAUUUUUGUAUAAACUAAUUCAAGUAGCUUAUUGCUUAUCAAUUUUUCCCUCAAUUUUAUUAAGAUUAUCUUAAUGGAAAAACUAAAACAUUUAUUAAACAUAAGCAAAAAUGACUUUUUUAUGUCAUUUGAUAUUUAUAAGCUAAUUCAACUGUUGAUUCUAUCAAACACUACAAAUUCAGUAGCAACAAUGGAGAAGUAGCAACAAUUGAUAAAAACCAUAAUACUUCCUCCAUUUCGGAACAAAUGACGUUUAAAGUUUUUAUACACUCUAUUAAAAAUAUAAUGACUAGAAGAAAAAUAAUUGUUAUAUUAUCCUUAUUAAUUGUUGAUUUGUUUUCCACUAAGUAAAAGUAAUGCUUAGGGAGUAGAGUGCAUAGUAUUAGUUGGAAGGUAUAAUUGGAAAGAAAAUGUUAACAUUACAUUGGAAAUUAAAAAUGAUAUUCAUUUUAAAAUAAUUUUUUUUUGUUAAAGUGACACUCUUUUUAAACCUAGGAAGUAAUUAAUAUAAGAAGAUGCUAAGAAGUGUCUUUAAGGUAUUGUUUAAGCAUUCAAAAGCAGUAACUUUUACAUUAGAAAUUGUCCAGUUAUGACUUUAAGAUCGGUUUGACUUGUAUUUUCAAGACCAACCAUUUUUUGCAAGUUCUUUAAACAAUGCCCUUAAGAUACUUGUUAGCAUAAUUAUCAAUUUUUUAAAGGAUUGAAUGAGGAAUUUUAAUAAGAGUCUUCAUUGAUGGAUGAGAAAAACUAAUUAAUUAUUUGUAGCCUGGAGGGCAUAUGAAAGGUUGAAUUUCAAUUUUGAAAGCAAUGCAAUAAGUAGGAUUUAGGGUGGGACUGCACACGUGGAUAGGUCAAUUGGGAGAGGUUGGAAGGGAUUUACAAAAUAAUUUCUCUGGAACGAACUAUAAACAAAAAAGGUUGGUGAAAAGUUGAUAUAUUAAAUUUUUAACUACAUACAUUGAAUUUUUAAUUAUCAUUUUUACUUAUAUUUUAUUUCGGAUGUAUUACACGGAAAUUAGGGUUUGGAUUAGGUCUUGGAGACUAUUCAAAUAUUGGAAAUAAAGGAUAAUUAACUUCCUUAACUGAAACCUAUAAAUGUUUUAGUCAACCCUCGUUUUAAGAGAGAAAUUUCACCUUUUCUCUAAAUAGUCACUUUGAGUCACGGAAUCAUCCAACUGAAUUGUUUUCUCUCUUAUACUAUCUAAAUUAGUGGUUUCCACCUAAAUCUAAUUUUCCUUUAUGUAAUUUUCCAUUAUUAACGUUGCUUUGUUCGUCAUCUUGUCUCGUUAUCGUUUGAUUUUUUCGUAUGUUGUAGUGUUUGUUUGGGUUUGGAUUGACCGGUAAACUUUUACCCAUUAGAGUUAAUGACUUAAGUGUCAAUGUUAUAGAUGUAAAUUUUUUUUGAAGGAAUAAAUUUAAAAUAUUGAUAUUUUAAUUCCUUUAAUCGUCACAUUUGUAGAUAUUUUAAUCCCUUCCUUUAUGCUAUUCUUGAUGUAUUAUGUCAAUUUAAAUAAAUGGAUUUUUUCCUUGAUAGUACAAAAUAUGAAUACAUAACACCGACUGGACGGCUGAAACCAUAUGCUAUGGAUGGAUGUUAGUUAGUAAUGAGUAGUGAUUAUCAAAGAAGACCAAUGUGGGGGUCCACAUUGGAGUGGUUUGAAAAUAUUUGCUGUUUAGGAAUGACACAAGUACACAUGAUCCUCAACAACCCAUGAAGGCAACGUUUUUAUAUUGGUUUUUUUUAAAUUACCUUUGAAGAAUGGUGGGUAAUUUACCCACCAACCAAUGAAAAUGAGCAAUUUAUUUGUGGGGUCAAGAUAGUUCAUGAAUAUGUGCUUAUGUGGCUAAUGUGUAUUGGUUGGGGUAAAUUACCCAUCAUUCUUUCAUGGGUAGCCUAAUUGCCACCUUCUAUAUUUUGUGCAGACAAGGCAACACCAGAAUACCCUAUAAUAUAUAUAAUUUUCGUUAUUUUUUUUUUGGAGAGAAAUAUAAUUUUCGUUAUUGUAAGUAGCUUAUCGCUUAUCCAUUUUUUCCUGAAUUUUACUAAGAUUAUCUUAAUAAAAAAAAUUUAAACAUAUAUUUUUUGGGUGCCCCUAAUAUGGUCCCUUUUUUACAAGGUCCACAUGUGGACCUCCUAUUAUGACCGGUUAUAGUAGGUUACCCAUUGCUUUUUUAAAAAAUAAAAUAAUAAUCUAUAUAAAAGUUGCACCAAUUUGUUUGUCUAGGUAAAGGUUGCAAUAGAGAUGGCGGAGAUACCGCCGGCGAUGGAGGCAAUGAGCUCUUAAGUUUCAUUAUGCAUGUUUAAUUUAAGUCGAAAAUUUCAUCAUCUUUAAAUGUUGAGGAGAGUUUUUGAGUAGCGAAAGUUUACAUCUUUGUACCAUCACAUAAAACAACUCCCACAUCAAGUUACAUGUUUACUGUCAGAUCUUAUGAAAAUUUUGCAUUGAUUGUGCAGUGAAGAGUUCGAGAAUGCAAAAUGAAGUGUUAUUGUUCAUGAUUUGUGUUGUAAAGGAAGUGUUUUAUGUUUUUAUUUUGUUGAAGAAAUUAAAAUAAAAACUAGCUAAACAUGAAUCUAGAAUUGAAGAUCCAUAAAGAUUAAAUUUCAAUCUCAGUUUGGGCUUUCUAUGACUUCUUAUUUUGAUUAGUAGAACCAAGACACAAAGAUUAAAGACCAUAUCUAACUUCAUAAUCUUAAUUAGCUCCCACUGUAGAAUCAUGAAUGUGUUUUUCAAGAAUAUAAAGGAGGGUUUUGGUCACGAGGGGGAAGAGGGAGUUGGAGAGAGAAGAAUAAAGUUGUAAUACUACAUGUACCUGCUAUAAUUGGUUAUAUUAAGAGGACCACAGCUGGACCUUGAAAAAAAGGGAUCAUAUUAGGGGUUACCAUAUUUUUUAUAUCAUUUUAUAUUUAUAAGCUAAUUUAAAUGUUAAUUUUAUCAAACACUAUAAAUUUAGUAGCAACAAUUAAUAAUAUACACAAGAAAAAUGAGUUUUUAGGGAUGAAGUGCAACCAUUUAUGGCAUAUAUACAUGAGGAAGUUGCAUGCAUUUUUACACGUGUAUCCAUAGGGAAGCAAAUUACUAGUUGGAAAGAGAUGUAGAAUUUAAUACAACCAUUGAUAAUAUAUACAUAGAAAAAUCAAGUAUUUUAGGGCAAGGGCAAGCAUAGGAUCCAUAGGGAAGCCAAUCACUAGUUGAAAAGAGAUGUAGAAUUUAAUGCAACCAUUAAUGAUAUAACGAUAAAAAAAAACAAGUAUUCAAGGGCAAUUAAUCUUCUUUUAAAAAAUCUAAAACAAGUAUGUAACCCUAAUUACUUAUUUAUCUACUAUUAAUUUAUCAUAAAAGCAUAAAAUGUUGUAACUUUAAUUAAAUUUAAUGUCUUUUAUCCUCAUUGAUCGACAAUGUUAUGGUAUAUUUUUAACACUUGUAUACGUGUUUAUGUCUAAGGAGUCAAUAAAAAAAAGAAAAAAACAAACAUUUUUAGAACACUUGUCUGAGUUGUCCGACAUUUGUUGUAUAUGUGUUCGACAUCGAUCAAAGAAGUGUCGAAAUAAAGAAAAUACAUAUUUUUUGUAUUAUUUUAUGAGUUUUCGACAUGUGUUAAACAAGUUUCAUACGAGUGCCGGACACCGACGCAUGUCAGAUACUUGCGACAUACCUUGUGUAUGUGUUUCAUCGGAUGGAUGUGAUAAAGAAUGGACUUGUAAAUGGUUAAUUCGAUGAAUGGUGAAAACCAUAGUACUUCCUCCGCUUCAGAAUGAUAGUGGUUUAAGAUUUUUACACACAUUAAGAAAUAUAAAAACUAAAACAAAGAUAAUUGUUAUUUUACUAAAUUAUCCUUAUUAACUAUUGGUUUGUUUAAGGUAAGUAAUGGUUAGGAAGUAGUGCAUAGUUAAUUGGAGGGUACAAAUGAAAAGAAAAUGUUAACAUUGCAUUUGAAACUAAAAAUGACAUUCAUUUUAAAAUAUCAUUUUUGUUAAAGUGACGUUCAUUUUCAAUUAAAAGAAGUAGUCAAUAUAAGAGAAAUGUUAACAAGUGCCCUUGAUGUAUUUGUUAAGAACCUCAAAGUAGAAAUUUUAUCUUGAUAAUUGUGUAUUUAACUUAUUGAAAUACCAAAAAUUACACUCCCCUCAAAGAUGCUUGAAUUACACUCCCCUCCCCUCUUAUGUUAAAAUAUACACUUCCCUCCCUUGAAAAGUAAAAGUUAUACUCCCCUCCCUUAUAAAAUACUUGAAUUACAAUCCCCUCCCUUGAUGAUUAAAUAUGCACUACACUUUAAUCUAUUUUAACAUAAAUAAAUAUUUUUAUGAUAUAUAUUAAUUUUAAACCACCAUUUGAAAAAAAUUAAUUCAUUUUCUUUAUAAUUUAAAUGUCAAUGAUAAUUAAAUUUAAAUAUUUUGCUAUUGAUUUUAUAAUUUAAAGUAUAAAAUUAACUUUUAAAUAAUCAUGCUUUAUUGUCUUUAGUAAUUUUUCACAUAUUUUAAUUUUAUUUUGGGUUGUUUCAUGUUUUAUAAUAGGGAUUAAAACUACAUGUUGAUGAAAUUGUGGAUAAAAAAUAGCGAAAAAUAUGUAUUCAAUUUUUUAUUAUAUUAAAAUAGACUCGCAAUACUAUUUUUUUCGAAGUGUGUUAGAUUAUUAUUAUUUUGCUAGAUUAUUAGAAAUAAAAAAAAUAUUGAGGGAGUAAAGUGUAGAUUUUAACAUAAGAGGGGAGGGGAGUGUAAUUCAAGCUUCUCUUAAGGGAGGGGAAUGAAAUUUUUUCUAAUAUGUUUUGAAUAAGAGGGGAGGGGAAUGUAUAUUUUAACAUGAGAUGAGAGGGAAAUGUAAUUUAUGCAUCUUUGAAGGGAGGGGAGUGUAAUUUACUCUAAAAUUUAACAAUUGUUUACUUUUUUGAAUCCUUAACUAGUGUCCUAAGGACACUUGUUACGAUAAUCCUUAAUACAAUCAUCAACGUUUUAAUAAAUAUAAUGAGGAAUACUAAGAGUCUACAUUGGUGGAUGAGAAGAAGUAAUAUAUUGAAGUCUGUGGGGCAUAUGAAAGGUUGAAUUUCAAUUUUCAAAGCAAUGGAAUAAGUGGGAUUAGAGUGGGGCUGCAUAUGUGGAUAGGCCAAUUGAGAGAGUUUGGGAGGGAUUAACAAAAUACUCCAUCCGUAAUGAAAUAUGAACAAAAAAGGUAGAUGAAAAGUUGAUGUAUGUAGAUUCAAUUUUUAACCACAUACAUUGACUUUUUUUAAGAGCACAUACACCGACUUUAUAACUAUAAUUUUUGUUUAUAUUUCAAUAUGAGGGAGUAGACGGAAACUUGAGCUUGGAUUACGUCUUGGAGACUAUUCAAAGAUUGGAAAUAUAGGAUGAUUAAUUUCCUCAACUUAAUACUAAAUAUUUUAGCCAACCCUAGUUUUAAGAGAGAACUUCACCUCUCUCUCUCCCUCUCCCUCUCCCUCUUCCUCUCUCUCACGUUGCUUUGUUCGUCAUCUUGUUGUGUCAUUGUUUGAUUUUAUCGUUGUCCAUUAGAGUCAAUGACUCGAAUGUCAACGUUAUAGAUCAAAAGUCAUUGAUAUUCCAGUACCUUUAAUUAUUGCAUUUGUAGAUAUUUUCAACGGCGAAGCUAGAGUAAUAUUUACGAGGGGGCCAAAUACAAAGAUUUUUUUUGAGGAAAAAAAAUCAUCUUUCUUAAAAUUUUAUAUAUUACGUUAAAAAUGUUUAAUCUCUAUAAAAUUAGGUUUCAAGGAAACAAAUAUAAUUGAAUAUUUGCUAAAUAGACCAACAAUUUAUUUAUUCAACGUCAACAAAUAAACCAUUUAUACUAAACUAUCGUUCAUUUUAUUUGACUAUCGAUAAUUUUAUUGCUAAAAAUGAUUUCCCUAUAGUUGUUGUUGAGACCAAAAUAUCAAAAUAAGACAAAUAAGUUUAUUAAUCAAGCAAUUAUUUUUUAACCUUUUAAUUUAUGCUAAGUUUUUGCAAAUGAAUUUAUUUGAGGUAGCUAAAAAUAUAUUAUUGGGGUAACUAAACAUAUUAAUAUAUUUAUUUAUUCAGUGGAAAUAUAAAGCUUGGGCUAGCCAAAGCUACCCGCUAUCCCAUAAUUACAAAGGAAUUUGUCUCUGGAUAUUUUGCCGUUUAAAUUAUGAAUUUAGACACGGUUAGCUUGUUGACAAAUUCAUCUUUUUCAAUUUUAAUAAGGUUGAAUUUAUGUUGUUCUUGAUGUAUUAUAUCAAUUUAAAUAAAUGGAUGUUUUUGUUUUUUCCUUGAUAGUCCAAAAUAUGAAUACUAGAUAAGUACUUAUUUGGUAACACCGACUGGACGGCUGAAACUGAAACCAUAUGCUAUAGGUUAGUUAAUAGUUAGUAGUGAUUAUCCAAAGAAGGCCAAUGUGGGGUCCACAUCCUAGAUAGUUUGAAAAUAUUUGUUGUUUAGGACUGAGGCACAAGUACACAUGAUCCUCAACAACCCAUGAAGGCAACGUUUCUAUAUUUUGUGCAGACGAGGCAAUACCAGAAUACAUUAUUGCAAGUUAUCGCAUGCAAUGCAUCUUCUGAUACCACCUCACGGGAAUCUGUUAUGGACCAUAACCUCUAGUCUUCAUUGGGAUCUUCUUAGUCCAUAACAGAAUCACAACAUGGCCAAAACCCACCGAGACUUCUGGCCAAAACAGUACGUACCAUGAGAAACACUAGUAUACGUGUAGGAUUUGCAUGCUCAAGUAGAUAAGCAUGACACAUCAUAUAUAUGUGGAUAAUUUUGUUGUAGUUAUCUGAAAAGCAACGGUUGUUACAUUAAGUUAAAGUAAAUUACAACACGCAAAGACUACUGUUUUAAUGGAGAGAGUGGCAGACAGAAGAAGUGUCCAGCAUAUCUAUGCAACACAACAUACCAAUAUGUCAGAAAGUUUGAAAUAUGAGCAACCUUCAAUGUUCAACUUUAAUUUUGUUUGAAAUCACGGGUGUCUUAAGGAUGAAAAUGACAAUUUUUGUCUAGCAUAAAUUGAAUGGAGUUCUCCCACGUUGCAAGUUUGUGAGGGAGGUGGUGGAGUUCUUCAAUUGGUUUGCUGGGAAGAGGAUAUUUGAGCUUAUAGUUUUCAGGAACUUAAAGAUGAUGAAUACGUGUUUUUGGAAUUCUUACCAUCAAUUGCAAGAACAUUAUCUCUUUAAUAUCAAAAUGUAGAUUUUAGUUUUAGACGGAGGCAAAUGAAUAUAGCAACUCAUGGUAUUAGACAGACUUUUAUGUAAAGCAAGUCCCCACAUUUUUACUAUUACUAUUUCUAUUGUUAUAUACAGUUUUAUUGAAACGAUUUAGUUUUCAAAAAACUCUUUUUUAGUUUUCAAAAACUGAAAAACAAAAAACUUGUUUGAAGCAUCAAUUUUCAAAAAGCAAUUUUGAAAAUUAAUUUUCAUUAUCGGUUUUUAAAAACUAUAAAAUGAAAAGAACUAAAACAUGUUUUGCUUUUUAAUUUUAGUUUUCAAAACAGAAAACACAGAGAAAACUACACUUUUCAUUAAUGCCAAUUGUUGUAAUUAUAUUGAAGUUGUACAAAUAUUUUCUAAUUAUAUUUUCCAAUUAUUAGUUGCACGUAAUUGUUAAGGGAACGGAAAUGUUAUAUUCAAGGAUAAGUUCACGUGAUUGGCAUUGAGCAGGGCCGUCCCUAAGAAUUCGGAGGCUCGGCUCUGGGAAUGAAAAGAGGCCGGUGAUAAAAUCAAAACGUUUUUUUUUUUAAAAAAAAAACAAUGUUCUAUUUAUAUUUUUUAAAAGAUAAAUAUAAGGUGCCGUAUAUAUGCGGUACAUCCAAAGGUGAAAAUGACUACCGUAUACAUAGUAACCCCCACCUAACACCAAAAGCAAGAGGACCUAAUUCUAAUAGGCCUAAAAGGCUAAAAGAAGGGGACAGAAAAUAGCUGGGGGUAUUAAAAAAAAAUUGGAGGGCAGUAGUACUAGUAGGUAUUAAAAAAAAAUUGAGGCCCAUGACUGAGGGAGGCCCAACUCUGUUGAGCUGUUUGCACCUCCUCAGGACCGGGUCUGGCAUUGAGAACAACAUUCUCAACUUUUUGUAUUUAUAUUUUUCCAACUCCAUUUUUUUUUUCGAUUUUUAAACCUUUAAUUAUUGAUAUUUCACUGAAUUAUUUUAUUAUUGAAAAUCUUAAUUUUAUUUUAUUUUUAAAUUUGAUUUAUAAUUAUUAAUUUGUCUAGUCAAAUGUGGAUAAUACUCGAAGCAAUGGAACAGUACACAAAGUCGUUUGAAUUAUUUAACCAUAAUCAAACAAUCAUACAUAUAACAUGUCAAGUAAGAGAGAACCAUCUAACCACCUACAUAACGACACUUUUCUUUCAAAAAAAAAAAAACACCUAUAUAACAAAGGCUUGCCACUAAUACGAGUGAAAUCAGACUUUAGUAGCUUAAUCAUGUGUCAUAUUCCAGAAAAAACUUCUAAAUUUAUUGAUUGUAAAAAAGAAAUCAAUGUAUUAAACUUUUCUCAGGAACUCAUUUGUAAUUAUUACAUUCAUUUUUUUUAGAAAAAAAAAAAUUAUUUUUAAAUAUAUGUAUCAAACAAAUUUUCCAAUUUUUAGAUUUAUUUUAAAUACAUUCUAACAGCGGUAAGAAAAAUAAAUUCAAAAAUCAAAUUUAUCAAACAAGUCUUCUCAAAUUCUCAUUUCAAAAACAGUUUUUAAAAAAGAAUUAUCAAACACGUUUUUUUUUUAUGUUUCUUCUUUAAAACAGUUUUAGAAAAUUGGUUUUAAAAAUUGAUUUUGAAAACUAAAAAACAAAACAAAACCAAACAGGCCCUUAGUUUUUUUUUUUUUUUUUUUAUCAAUUAGUUUAGUGGUUAGGAUUCACUUUUUAUUGUGAAUAAAUAGAGUGUUUUCUAUUCGAACCUCAACCUCUCUGUAUAAUAGUAUAUUGUCCCUGUCAACUGAGCUAUGCUUACGAGUCUCAAGUACGAAAUUAUUCAGCUUUAUUAAUGUGAAAAAAUUAAAUUAAAGCUUUAUAUAUAAGUUUCAAAUUAUGGCUCCAAGUGAUGGGAAAAUGAAACAACCAACUAAAGUCUACUUUUUUUUUUUUCGUCUAGUAGCCUAGUGGUUAGAGCUCACAUAAUUAAAUGUGGAAAAAUGGGGUGUCCGGGGUUCGAACCCCGACCUCUGCAUAAAUUAUGCAAUGUCCCUGCCAAAUGAGCUAAACUUUCGGAAACUACUUUUAGUUACGCAUAGCUUGGACUUUGGAGUAUAAAUAUAUAAUGUGUAUGUUUAGUUUUGCACUAGUGAAAAUUGAUUAUGUAGAUUUGAUUUAGUUAAAAUGAGUUGAAUAUAAAAUGACUUAUGUUUUUUUUUUUUUAAUAAAAAAGGAUUUAUGUUUGAAUCAUAGUAAAAGUGAUUAAUAUCAACAAUGUUUUUACGAUAGAAUAUAUCAAAAUUUCUUUUUGGGUGUGUACAUUUUAAAAAUGUUUUUUUUUGUUUUGUUUUGAAAAGUACCAAAAUGGGUUUUAGGCUCUGGUUGAUAAUGCUGAUAAGCUAGAUUAUAACUCCUAGAAUUAGCUUAUAAGUUUGUUUCACCAAAAUGUGAUAUGUUCGGUAACAAAUAUCAUUUACGAGCUUAUAUGUGCACUUAAGUUGCUUAAUAAAAUUACUAAUCAUGAGAGGAUGACCCCGAGCUCUUCAUCUAUGACUGCAAAUUUCAUGUUAGGAUAUAGACUAGGGAUACUCUUUCUCAAGAAUUGACCCUUCAAAAUAGUUGGGAGUGCCUUUCAAAUUUCAAUGUUUAAAUCUGUUGUCUGUACUACUAUUAAUUUUAAUUAAUGAAGUUAAAUUUUACGGUAAAAAGAGUAAGAAAUUCCAACUAAUAUCCAUUUAUAUCUUCAACCCCUAUAUUUAUUCUCCACAAAUAGUGCCAACCGUCUUAUAGUUGCGGUAUAAAAUCGGAGGAUUCAGGUGAGAUCUAGAUUACCCUAUCUUGUUUAGGGGGUAUUUACCUUUUCAAGAUAUAAACCAAUCAAAAUGUAAUAUACAAAUGUAACAUUAAAUAUCAAAUAAAUGAGUUAAUUUUUUCUAUAAAAAAAAAAAUCAAUUUUAAUCCUAAGGUAAUUGACAUUUAAUUUAAUUAUAUAUUUAGGUAUUCAAUCUUAAUUAAUUUACACUAUAGGUCUUGUAACAAUUAAAAUUUCACAUCAAAAUAUGUACAAGUUAAUCAUUUUCUUCAUUUUUCUAUUAAAAAAACAUGAAAAUAUUAAUUUUAUUAAUAACUUUGUUUUAUAAAAUAUUUUUUAAUAAAAAUAAAUAAAUUCAUGAACCCUAUGAACAUUUCAUCCUCAUAUUCAUCAUCUUCAUCUUCUUCCUUAAAUCAAAAAAAUUAUCCAUCCAAAUAAACCUUCAAAUUCCUUAAAUAUUUCCUUUUCCAUCUUCUUCUAAACACAAAAUUCAAAAUACUCAAAUUUUAUAAACCUUAGGUUUGCCAAACCCAUAAAUCUGAAUUUUGGAUUUAAAGAAAGAAACCGAAAAUUCAAAGUAUCGGGUUUCUUGUUUUCUAUGAAAUUUAAUUAUAAUGGUGUUUGAUGUGAACUUGACGAGGAUUGUGCAUAUGAGCUAGUUGUUUAGCUUUUUAGAUUCUUAACCUUUUUGGAUUUUGGACUAGUAUUAUACAAUGGUAUAAACAAUUUCUUAUUGUUGGAGGCCAACCUCGCCUUCACUACCAUCAGAGAUAGGAAAGCUAUAGGGAAAGUGAUGAUUGUAUUUGAUGAGAAAAUUACAAGAUCUAAGUUGUGAUGAUCUUUACUAAAACUAUGCUUGAGCACUCAAACAUGAGAGGUUCACUAUCCAAAUUGUGUGAUUUUUUCUUUAAAUCCAAAAUCUAAAUUUAUUGCUUUUGUAAAAUUAGGGUUUAUGAAAUUUGGGGACUUUGAAUUUUGUGUUUAGAAGAAAAUGGAAGUGAAAAUAUUUAAGGAAUUUGAAGGUUUAUUUGGAUGGACAAUUUUUUUUGAUUUAAGGAAUAAGAUGAAGAUGAUGAAUAUGAGGAUGAAUGUUUAUAGGGUUUAUGAAUUUAUUUAUUAAAAAAUAUUUUAUAAAAUUAGUAUUUUCAUGUUUUUUUAAUAGAAAAAUGAAGAAAAGGAUUAGCUUGUGCACAUUUUAAUAGAUAAAGGACCUAAAUGAGACAAAAAAAAGAUAAAGGACUAAUGUGUUACAAAUAAAUAAGAUAAAUGACAUUUAGUGUAAUUUUUCUAAAAUAAAUUGACUCAUUUAUUUGACAUUUAAUGUUACAUUUUGUAUAUUACAUUUUGAUUGGUUGAUAUCUUUUAGGGGUAAAUACCCUCUAAACAAGAUAGGGUAAUCUAGAAAAAAUCGAGAAUUCACCACAAAAAGUCAAAUAAAAUAGAAGGACCGGCUGUCUUAUAUGUAAUUUUUAUUAAUAUAAUCAGAGUGUGUUGUCAUUUGGUCCAUUUGGUUAUUACUAAAAUAUGAUUAUUUUCAGUUUAUUGAGCUUGGCUGUUGGUAAGAACAUUGCAUUUUCUUUGCAAAAGUUAGGGUUUGAUCUCCAAACCCUCUAUUUAUUCAUUUUAAAAAGAUGAAUUUCUAGUCACGUUGAGUUAUUUGACAAAAAAAUAGAUUGCAAAUGUAUAACUAUUCAAAUAAAGAUAACCAAUGAGAUGUUCUCAGCGCUUAUGCUCUUCUUGCAUGCCCUAGGAAGCUUUUAUUUUAUCUCGUUUUGAUUAUUUCAUCUAAAGCAUAUUAAUAAAAUUUCAGAAUAUAAAAUCCCAAAGCUAUUAGAACACAUAAAAUCAACAUUUUUUCCGAUAAAUCAACAACAAAAUCUUGUUUUAUAUUGGUUCCACAUAUAGAAUUUGAAUAAAUAUUUAAUAUUCAUAUGUUUUUUGGGUUCUAAUAUCCAAACAAUGGCAAAGGCUAGGGUGCAUGACCUUCAUGGGUCUCCUACCGGUGCAAGACUUGAAUUUUUUUUAUUUUUAUUUUUGCAAAAGGAAUGUUAUCCAUUGAAUGUAAGUUUGAAUAUUUUCAAUGGUUGAGAUUAAUAGGCUAAGUGACCCACUAUGCUUGUAUUCUUUUUAACAUGUAUAUUGAUUUAAUAAAUGCAUUUGAUUUUGGAUUCAAUUUUCAGAAAGGAUGUUUUUGUCAAUGUUGAACAAUUGAAAAGUUUUCCCAGCAACAUAAUACAUUCCAUCUCUAUUAUCUUCUAGUCAAAAUUCCAGCAAGCAAUGUUCUUGACAAUUUGAUGAAAUAAUUAAGAAUAUAGUUUUUUUUUUUUAAGGAAGAAAAAUAUAUUAAUUGAAAAUAUAUUAUAAAUACAAAUUUAUAAAUUACUUGACCUACUAAGAUUUAUAUAUAUAUGGAUUUUGCUAGAAGCCACUCAUGAAAGUGUCUUUUAGCAACCUACACCUCAAGGUGUGAUUUCCACUUUUUAGUUAUAACUUUGCUAAAAAACACCUUUAUAAAAAUUAGUUGGUGUCUUUUAGCAAAUGAUCAUAGAAUAUCUUGCUAAAAAACACCUUCAUAAAAGGUGUCUUCUAGCAAAACCAUAUAUAUAUAUAUUGUUUUUAAAAAUACCAAUUGAUUUUGUAAUUACAUUUAACAAAGGGUGUUUUUGGCAAUGUUGGAAAAAUUGAAAAAAUCCCAACAUGCUCAUAGACCUUGAUUAAUUCUGAUUUAGUUUUAAUGAUAAUAACUAUAUAAUUAUAAAUAAAAAUAACAUUAGUAAUUACAUAUUAUGUUUUUUUAAAGAAUAUUAUGGUAUUUUUAAAUAGGGAUAAAUAUGUUUUUAAUCCUUAUAAAUAUAUCAACUUUUCAUUUUAGUUUCUCUAGAAUCAUUCUUCAAUUUUUAGGGUUCCAAAUUUAUAUAUUUGGGGAAGAAAGGGUCGUUAAUGAGGAAGAGGAGAAAGAGCCGUUAAUGAGGAAGAGGAGAAAGAACCGUUAAUGAGAAAGAGGAGAAAGAGCCGUUGACAAUUUUAUGAAAAUCCAUCAAUUUGGUCCUUGGCAAUUUUCUGUAAAUCAAUCAAUUUGGUCCCUGCUUGCGUGGCAUCUGACGUGGUAAGCAUUGUAAAAGGUUAACGUUACACGUCACCUCCGUUAACACACCAACUUAAUGGAGGGACUGAUUUGAUUGACAUUUUGUAAAUUCAGGAACUAAAUAGAUAUCUCGCAAAAUUCAAGGACGAAUUUGACCAAUUUUUUAAAAUUCACGGACGAAUUUGAGAUAUUAAUCAUUUAAUUAAUAUAUUCAUACAUUAGCCCUGUAAUAUUAAUAGCUAUAAUGUUUGAGUAAAAUUAUUGUGAGAAUUUUUAAAUACUUUAACUUACUACACUAGGUAAGGAUUGUACAACAACUAAAAUUAAAGGUCAUUUUAGUGGAAAAAAAAAAUUGCUCUCUUACCAUACGAGAUCUAUUAAAGUCACGCACGCUAAACGGGGCUUCCAAACAAUUACAAACUCCCACGAGACGAGAUGUAAACGCUAUUGGGAUUCAUUAUCAUGAUAUAUUUUAGAUUCUAUAAAUUAAACAUGUAAAAUAUGUGUCGGUUAUAGAUGUCAAUGCGGCGGAGCGGGGACAAAGAGUACUUUUCCGCUCCUUGUCCCAUCACUCAAAUUAUUCCUCGUCCUCAGAGUUUUUCCUCCAUCCCUAUAUCCUUAGAUCCCUCGGUCCCUGUGGAGCUUAAUCAUUGUGAACAAAUAUCUAAAUUUCUAUUAUUUUUAAUCCGUUAGUUGGUAAAAAAUAAAAAAUUUAACCAUAAGUUAUACAAUAUCAAGGCGUUAUAGUAUACAUUACACAGAAAGUAACGUUGUAUAAUUCCGUAUAAGAAAUAUCAUAUUUUACAUUUAAUUUACUUUUUGGAAGACAUUGAAUUUACUUUUGUCGACCUUGGGCUAUCGUUAAUCAAACUGAGCAUUAUAUUGGAAUAUUUUUAGUUUGGCAUACCUAAUGCAAAAAAAAAAAAAAAAAAAGUGUAUUCAAACGAACAAUAGGAUAAUAUUCAUGGACACCCUUUUCUUCAUACACAUUUGUGUACCACCCUCAUGUGAGAGUGUGUGAGAGACAAAAAAAGUGAAUUUUUUGUGCAUGUAGGGACCACGUACAUGGUCACAUGUCGCAAUUGUGUGUGGGUGUACAAGUGUUAGUUGUCAGUUAAGGUGGUCUAUGUAUUACUUCCCCGAACAAUAAUAGUUUUGACUUCUUGGUUAUUUAGAUAAGAUUUUUUUAAAUAGUUUUUGGGUUAUGCUAACAAGUGUGUUCUUAGGGCAUUUGUCAAGGUUUUAAAAGAGGAAUUAAUUUACAAAUUUUAUGUAAAAAAAGUUUUUUUUUUUAAAUUUCAAGAAAAAAUAUAUUUUAUUGGUUUCUAAACAAAUAUUCAUAAGACACUUGUUAGCUAACAAGUACCCUUAUUAAGGAUUUAAAAGAGGAAAUUAUUUAGAAUUAUUUUUUUUUUAGAAAAAGUUCAUUUUCUCUGUUUCAAUAUAUUAAAUACACAAAAGGCGUAUGAUCAGCUCCAAGAUGGCUUUCGAUUUAAAUGUGGAAAUGGUGCUUCAAGUUUAUGGUUUGAUAGUUGAGUGACUAAGGAACCUCUUUGUCGUCAAGUGUCGUUUGUGGAUAUUCAUGAUCGGGAUUUGAAGAUUCAGGAUGUGUUCAUAGGUGGUCAGUGGCAGCUUCAACAACUUUAUACUGUCCUUCCGGAGGAAAUUCUAGAUCGGACACUACAAGAAUUCUGGUUUUUACUGGCGGAAAUAAUCCCUCGGUAACGCCAAAAAUCCCUCAGUAGUACAUAUUACUGGCGAAUUUGAAUCCCUCAGUAAUAUGAGCGUCAGUAAUGUUACUGAUCAGUAAUUACUAGAAGUGUGCUCGUCCUUAAGGUCUCAGAUUCGAUUCUCUCCAAGUCAAUUUAAAUGAGCUAAUUUAGCUUCUUAAAAAAAAAUUAUUCCCAUGAUGGAUUAAUUUAUUUUUGUAGUACAUGCUUUGGAGGAUUACUUUAUUCCCAUGGUGGAUGGUUUGGAGGACUAUGCGGUGGUUGUUCUCGAUGGAAUUUAAGCUUCUACCUCCUAAAAAUUAAAGACGACUUUAUAGUCAAGAUUUGAGAGGUCAUAUCCUAAAAUUGAACUUGCUAAAUGAAAGAUUAACUGACGUUGUCAUGAUUAUAAUCAUCUUUUGAUUGAUGUUAUGUAAAGUUAGUUAAUUUUUAUGAAUGUGUAAUGAUUUACAAACUUCUUAUGAUUAAGGUCUUUUGGAGUAAAUGGUUUUGAUCAUUUUAACUAAACCAAUGUAUAAUUUCUUUACAAGUUACUUUCUUAUAUAUCAAGUUGGUUUAUCGACUUAUGACAAAUAUAUUCAUAAAAAAAUCAAAUAGGCUUGUAUAUAGUGAUAAAUAAGCUUUUAAAAGGCAUAUAUUUCACUAAAAUUAUAAGAAUAAUAUAGAUACACACCUAUUUGGUUCUAAAAAUAAUCUAUUAGGUACUUAAUCUAAUAAUUUUUAUGACCAACUUAUAUUUCACAUCUUUUGGAUAAGAGUGAUGAUUAUCCUUAAUGAAGUAGCUCAUUAUUAGCAAAUUAUACAUAUAUGUUUGCAUAAAAUUUCAUGCUCAUAUCUUAUAUCUGAUUCAUUGCAUCGCACGGGUUGAAGAUCUAAUUUAUAUAAUUAUAAUCUUAGAAAUUUCAUUUAAAACUCUAAUUCUAUUAAUUAAUCAUUAAAUUUUUAAAAAAUAGAAAAAAUAACUUAUAUGUACCCACUAAUGGGCUGUUGGGUUCCACAUUGAUUCAAUAAAAUGUAUGUUUGCCAAGCCUUUCCACCAUGAUAAUAUGAAGCUACAAAUUGUAGCAUCCAACAAAAUGCAUGUUUUCAGCAAUGCAACCGUGAAAACAAACGCAUACUAACUCACGUCACUCACACACAUACAUCACAUAAUAAAACUCGUAUUAUCCCACUAACGCACCAUUCUCAUGACCAAAUUAUGCACAAAUAAUAUCACUCAUAAAUGCACAGUAUGCAUGAUUAAAUUCAUAACCAACAAACUCUUCCUUCAAAAAAAAAAAAAAAACUCUUUGAACCACACCUAUUACAUGCCAACAAUUGCACGUUUGCUUUCCUCAUUUCUCAAUACAUUUCUCUUUUUCUUUGGUUGUUAUUCCUUCUCUCUUCAUGUAUCAUCUCUUCAUUCCCUCUUCAUUAUAUUAGAGUUGUUGUUUGUUGAUUCUUAUUUUUUAUUUGUUUUUCAGAGGCAUCAUUUUGAUACAUGCACACGAUAUUGGUUUUCAUUUUACAAUUUUUUAUACAACCUUAGUCCAUCUUCUUCCUCUUGAGUAUUUUAUUUUCAUUUUUCCAUAUUCUUUUUGAUUUGAUUUUAAUAUGUUUGGUACAAUCUUAAUCUUUUGCAUAAUUAUGAAAUUCUUUUUUCUAUUGUUCUUAUUUUUUUUAUCUAUCUAUACAUUAAUUGCGAUGAGAUUUUACAAAUGUAUAUCAUUUUUUUAAACCAAAAAAGUUAGAUGUGUCGAAGAAGGCAAGCCAUCCCAACUAUACUGGCAUCCAACAAGUUCUACAAUAAUUUUUCUCUCCCUUACUCUCAUUCAAUUAAUUAAAUUAAAAAAUAAUAAUUUAUUAUUAUAAUCCUAUAACUACCCACCCUCCACAUUUCUAUUUCCCUCUUUUUAUUAAUUAAAGAAAAAAAUUAUAAAUAAAAAACUAGGAAUUAAAUUGAUAAAAUACAAAAAACAAAUCAAAUAAUGGGGAGAAAUAGCUACCCAUGAUAUAACUCACAUUUUAAUUUUUUAGUUUUAUAAUCCUACAAAUUUUCCUAUAAAUAGAAAAUAAUUUGUCUUGAUGUAGUAUUUAGUUGUGUGUGUAAUUUUUUCUUUAAAGUCAUAUUUUCAAUAAAGUUAUGAUAUCCUAAAAGACAAUUAUAAUUUAUGAUUUACUGUAUGAUACAUAUUGUAUUUUCUUAUUUCCUCAUAAGAUAUAAACUAUUAAAAUGUUGCAUGUUUUUAAUUACAAAAUUUUCUUAUGGAUGAUAAUAACGAUUCGAACGAGCUCUACAAUUUUCAUGACUUACCUUAUGCCAUUUAUAAAGUUUUAUUUUAUUCUAUUUUCAUUUCAUUGUUCUACCUCUUUUCUACUUCAUUUAUUUUUCAUUUAAGAGUGUGACAGACAUUACAUGAAAGUAGUUUGUUUCACUUGUUUAUUAAUUUUAUACCAUUUUUAUUUUCAGUAUUCAAAUAAUGCUAAAAAGUAUUAAAAAAAAUUAAGUAAUAUUCUUGCCUCAUAAAAUAAAAACUUAUAUUCAAAAUUGAAAAGCAAAAUCAAUAUAACAAACAUUCAUAUCAAAAUAUUCUAUAAUGUUUUAAAAACUACAAUAAUGGUCAAUAAAAAUUCAAUAAUACUUAUGUACAAUGAUGCACGGGUAGACGUCUAGUUUAAACUUUUAAAUAUUUGGUUUCGGAUAGAUUAUAGAUUGAGGGAAUAAGAAAGUAGUACCAAUCCCAAAGAAGUCAAAUUUAUCUUCAUAGCGGAAAGUUGUUGCAUCUGUUUGAUCGAGGGCAAGGUCGAUCUUAAGAUUUUUAGUGCUUUGGGCGAAAUAAUAAAAUUGUGCCACUUUAAUUAUUCCAAUAUUUUUUCUGGUACAAAAGAUUCAUUUAUAAUCAAAAUUCUUUAAAAACAUAUUUUCAGUAGAAUUAAUCAAAGUGAAUUAAAAGGAAAUGUAUCUAUAUAGCACUAACUACCAAGUAAAAAUAAUAAUUUUGAUGGCCCGAAAAAAAUAGUGUGCUAUGAUGCCUCCCAUCCCGUCCACAUCAGGGCCACCCCUAAUCGAGGGAUCAUAUGAGGUUAUUGGAAGUAGCCUUAUCAAAGAUAAAAAAAAAAAAAAAAAAACACAAGAACAUAAGAGAGUAGAGGAACAAGAGAGACAAAGUCUCAAAGGCGAGGGAUAAAAGAAGAGCCUCUAUUAGCCGCUUGGCAAGUAGUCAAGCGGCUAAAGGGAAUUGAGUUAUGAGCAGGUAAUCACUACGGUGGCGUUUGCAAUACGCAAGGGAUAAACUUGUGCAUGAUACACAAGUUAAAUAAUAAAGGACAGCUGUCGGUAUUCACCUAUUGUAAUAAAUUCUAUUAAAACACUGAAUUAUUAUUUUAAUGUCAAAUAUUAGAGGUCUCUUUAUCUAAUUCACCUCCCAUUCUGACGAAAAACAAAUGCACCUCCUUGAGGAAUUUUUUUCCAGAAAAUUAAUAAAAGAUUUUGAACAUCUCUCACAUAGAACCAUCAUCACUACUAUGAUAACAACCACAUCACCAUGACCAUCUUCAUCUCAUGUCCUCCACACUUUUGUAUUAUUAAUUUUUUUUUUUUUUAAAGUUACGAAUAUUUUCAAAUGAUAUCAGGUUUUUUUUAUUACAAAAAAUCAACAAUCUUCAUCUCUUCAAUCAUAUAUUCUUCAUUCAACCCAGAAAAUAAAAAACUUCAUAAACCCAAUAAGCUCAUUCACCAUAAAUCCAGAAACUCUCCUUAACGAUAUAUUAAUAAUCGCUUAAAAUUCAGAAACUAGUUCACCGUAAAACCAAAAACACCUGUACCUUCAACAACUCAACAAGAAACCCAUAAAUUCAUCCUUAUUUAACCCAUAAAUCGUAGAGUUUUACGCCAUAUCUAAAGUAAGGAUUUCAAGCCAACUAGUUACUGGGUUAGUUUUGUGAUAUCUGAAUUUUUAUUUCUCAGAUCUGAAUUUUGCAGAAAGAACACCAAAAGUUGAAGAAUGAUUUUUGCUUCUUUUUUUAAAAUAGAAUUAACAAAUAAAUAUCAAAUAAAAGUAAGAAUCAUACAAUAUUAACAACUGCAGGCAAAGGAUCAUACUAAAUGAUGAGUAUUCUUCACCCACACAAGUGAAAUGCAUACAAGGAAUCUACCCUUUUUUCUAGCUGGGGUUGCACACGGAAAAAAAAAAACUCAAAAGCCCAUUAAUAAAUUAAUGAUAAACAAUUCCUAUGUGGGGUCAUUGUUUUUGUUGUAGACAAAAUUACAAAAAAUUGAUAAUAGGUAGUCGGUAGUAGAUCUCAACCGUCCAAAUAUAAUAAUAAUAUCUCAAUAAAAAGGGAACACGUCUUCGUUACUUAAUGAUUUUGUAAAAAUAAAAUGUUGUUUUGUAACUUAACUAGUUAUAAUAAGAGUUUCUUCAAAAAAAAAAAAAAAGUUGAUUCAAUGUUGGUUUUGUUUCUUAUCCAAAUCAAAUUUCCUUUUAUUUUCCAUUCACCCUCGUCUGCAGAACUAUGUUACAUAUGAAAUGAAUAAAGAAAGAAGAAUAAUAAUAGUGUUAUUUAUGAAAAGUUGUGGAAUAAAAAAAAUAUGAAUCUUGUUUUAUAUAGGCUAAAUACCUCUUUUAGUCCUUUAAAUUUGACCAAAAUAUCGAAUUAUUCCUUUAAGCUUUUGAAGUUUCAAAUAGAUCAUUUAAGUUGUUAAUUUGAUACACCCAUUUGGAGUUUUUUAAGUUUCAAAAGGUCCUUAAAAUGAUAUCCCUUACUCCUUAAUCUUAUUAGGUUGCAACAACUUAACCCUAGAAAUUUGGCUCCAAAAUUGCAGCAUUAAAUGCUAAAUGAGAUAACCCUAAAUUUUUUUGGCUCUAAAGUGUUUGAGAAUUUGAAUUUCAAAUUAUUUUAUUGGAACAAACCUACUAGCACUUACCAAUAUAUGUUAUUAAUAUCAAUGAUAUAUUCCAAAGCAAAAAAUUGACCUAACAAAAAUUUGACCAAGCCCUUAAAUCAUAUCACCAGUCCCUCUUUUUCCUCCCUCUCUCUCACAUAACCAAGUGCGGUGUUGCCAAAGAUCCCCAAACUCAUCGAUGGUGUCUCUCACUCCGACGCCGAAACUUCCGUUGUUGAGAAUCGCAACUCGCCGGAAGGUCAAUAACCUAAGGCUUUAAAUCAAUUCUUCUCCUUUUCAUUCAUUCCCAUUUGACACUACUCUCUCUCAGAGGAAUAUUUGUAGUUGCUGUUAGAUUGGUUUGGAAAGUUUUUUGGGGUCCCGAAAGUGUUUUUUAUGCUGACUAUAGCAGUCCUGCUUUCUCUGCUUUUAGGUUCUAAUAUGGCUAUUGGGUGGAUGCGUUGGUGGUGAAUUAAUGCUUUUGUUUUAUGUAUCACUCUUUUUCUUUGGCAUGAUUUCUCUGCCAUGAGUUACCAUGUUAUGCUUUAUGUUUGAUUUCAUUGGUCUUUUGUAUAUCUUUAAUUUUUUUGUUAUUCUGAGUUUAUAAGGGCAUUUGCUUUGUGUUUUUGUGUAUCUUAUUUUGAUACAAGGGCAAGAACUGAAGUUCUUUCGAUUGAAAUUUUCACUUAUGAGAUUUUUUUCUUACUAUAAUUUUACCUUUGAAUUAAAAUAGGUGAUUGUAGUUGCAGUUGUAUAAGUAUGUUCCACAAUAUGUAUGGAUAUUUCGAUGUUAGCAGAACCGAAAUUGAUCAGAGACACUACGGGCAUGGAUGCAAACAAAGUCUUUCCUAUUAGGUCCUAUGAGCAUGACAAGGAGAACAACAUUAGUGAAAACAUAGUUAUGCAGUAGUGUUGCAAGAGUGCAGGUUCUGUCAUGGAGUGGUCUUGCUGAUGUAGUUUUUUUUUUCUUCCCCGGUUCAGCGGUGGUGUUUGUAGGCCGGCUAAACAUGACUUUUACUGGUGUUAAAAUCAGUCUUCAGUCUUUAGGUUUGUAUAUGUGCUUUAGUAAGUUCAAGCUUAAAAUUUGACUGUUUUCAUGAGAGGAAAUAAUUAAAUAUGAGAAGGGCAUUAAACUGUGUGUAUUAAAGUAUGAUUAAAUUGUGGUUUGUUUGUGAUUUAUUCAGUUUGUAUGCCUUCACCUCUAAUGGUUUACUUUUCUUCAUGAUAGCAAGUGCAUAUGUAAUGGAAAGGAUCUGAAUACUACUAUAUAAUUCAAAUUUAAAGAUAUUUGAAGCUAGAAACACAUGUCAUAUUACGAUGAUUUAAAUUAAAUUAAAUUUCUCUGUUUCCAAAUUCAUUCGUGCUUCUGUGUACGAUUUCUAAAGCCGAACCACUUAUGCAUCAUCUAUAACAACGACUAUUUUUUUAUAAUCAAAAGAUACACCUCAGUUAGCAUCAACAUUUAAGAUUUUUUUCAUCAAUAAUAAAACAAUUCAAACACCUCAAAAUAAGUUACUUAUAUCUUAUAUUAUAACGUCUCAACCCUUUUAUUUUUAAGAAAUGUCUCAACCUUUGCUAAAAAAAAAAAAUGUCUCAACCCUUUAAUCACUAGAUUACACAUUUUGAGAUAAAAAUUUUAAUUGAUAUAUAUUGAUUUAUAAAUAAUAAUUUACUCGAAUAGUAAAUAGUAAAUCACACCCAUAAGUUACACAGGUCGAAGAUCACUUAUUACUUUCUAUUAGAGUCGAUAAGACCCGUGCGAUAGCACGGGUCGAAAGUCUAGUAGAUGUAUUAAAUUAACAAUUUAAAAGACCAAUUUAAAACUUAAAAACUUAAAGGAUUAAUCAGGUAUUGUUGUCAAACAUAAAAAAUCAAAAGAGGUAUUUAGCCUUUUAUAUACUUUGAUCUAUAGCAAAGUAGAAUAUGUCAUGAUGAUGAGAGUUCGGGUAUGCUCCAUUUAUAUUAAACUUCAUUUACUCCAUUUAGUGUACGGAUGCAAGCCAUGUGGCAAAAAUACAUCUAAUAGUUGAGAUUUUAGAUUAAAAAAACAUAUAUUUAUUUAUCAAUAGUAAAAUAACAAUAAUAACAAGUGAAUCAUGUUCCUUUCUUCUUUCAUGUCGUCGCCCGCAACAAAUCCAACACCUCUCUCUUCUCAUCCAACCUUCUUUCUUUUCUCAAGCUUUCCCUCUCAUCAUCUCCUCUCUCAACUUAGAUCCCUAUUUUUGUUUUACCCAUCUCUAUUCCUUUCUAGUACAAAUUUUCUUUCUAUUAUUAUGUCUUUUUGGUUCUCAAUCUAUCGUGAGUGUAGUUAUGGAUUGAGUGCUAUUCAAAACUUGUAAGAUUAAUCAACAAUUUUUGGUCGAUUUUGAUUUCAAUUUUGGUUGAAGCGAUGGUGACUGAUGCAAGAUGAAGAGGAAACGUGAUUUAUUAUUAUCAUUAUUAUUUAAUUUAAUAAACAAAUAUUUUUUUUAAUUUAAAAUUUCAACCGUUGGUUGUAUUUUUGGCACAUAUCUUGCAUCUGUACACUAAAUGAAGUAAAUGGAGUUUAGCCUAAAUAAAGCAUUCCUGAACUACACGAUGAUAUACCUGUUUUAAAAAAGUAACAAUUUUCUGUAAAAUGAUAAGAAUAUUGAGAAUAGAAAAAUGAAAAUAAUAAAAUUGUAUAAUAAUAAAAUUUGAAAGUUGCUUACCUUAUGGAGCUUCUCGCUACUAGUGGUGAAGUUGAAGAAAGAAAAAAAAGUAGUUUUUUGAAGAGAAAAAAAAGUAGUUUGUUAAAAAUGGUAUAAAGGGGGAAAAAAAGAACUAAUAAAAGGAUAAAACUUAGGUAAAGUACCUUAGAUACUAUCCAAACAAUUCUCCAAUUAAAUUGUGACAAGUGUAUAUUUAACUUAGAUUCUUAACGGCGUGGUCACAUAUCUCCGUUAAUAUAUGCAGAAGUCCACUAUCCCAACCCUGUUACCAAUCACCGGUCGGAAGACUCGCCGGAAAUAACAACAGUCAAACUAAGCACCCACUCACCUGCCCUUGCCGAAUCACAAACAAGGUGUCGAAGGGAGGAAAAAUAGGUGGUUUAGAGGUGAAUAGUAUUUUCACUACGGGGAAGAGAAUGGUGAGCGGUGGGAGAGGGUGUUGGCAUAACACCAUCCUCUAUACUAUUUUUUAUAUGCAAGUUGAAUUUCCACACCCUUUCCAAAUAAAAACUGAGAAUUCCAUGCUGUGAAUUUUGAUUAUAUGAUGUUACAAGUUUCACCCCAAAGUUUCACCCUUUCCACACCCUUUCUAAAUUUACUUUCAUGUUUCUCUUCCGCACCGUUCCAUUCGACCUCCAUUAGGGGCAGACAUCAUAAGGCAUGGUGUGACACAAUAAUAUAUACCAAAUAAUUCGUUAAUGUUUAACAAAUCAAACAAUGGCCCAACGGUAGAUUGUCCUUUAACAAUUGUCACGUCCAUAGUUCAACUCCCACACUUACCUUGGCCAUGCCCCUGCUCCAUGUGCGGCAACACCAUCGACUUGCACACGGUUUUUGCUUUGAUCCCAAACCGAUUUCAUUGUCUCCUGACUCCAUUUUGGUUUCAUGGGUUAGUAUACUAUAGUAUCAUAACACCUUUAAAAUUGAAACCCACAAUAUUUUCUAUUAAAUUAAUCAUUUUUGCACUUUUUUUAAUAUUAAAAGGGACCUACACUUUUUUAGUAUUAAAAAAUUGAAUGUAAUGAUAUAAAAUUAUUGAUAAUUGAUUAGUGGGUCUCAUUUAAGAAAUUUGCGUUAGAUACUAGGUUGGAGAGAUUGAGUGUUUUUUAGGUACAACAAUAAUCAAGCAUCAUCCCACUAAGUGGGGUCAGCUAGAUGGAUCAAAUUGAAAUUAUGUCAUAGUUUUCUAUAAUAAACCAUAUUUGGAUCCAACUCAUUGACCUCUAAAUCCUUUUUAAUGGUCCCUCUUAUACAAUCAUUCAUUCAUACCUAGUUGAGCAUACACAUCACAUGAUAAACAUCAUAUCCAAUACAAUCAUUCAUUCAUACAACUUCACUUAGUCAUAUAAGAGUAAUCACAACAAUUCAUAAGGUAAUUGACUUGAAAGAACCAUUUCCGACAAUACCGUAUCAAGUGGCAAAAGGCCGACGUUGAUAAUUCUCACAACAAAGCAACAUAAGGACUCACUAGACCCUUUCCACAAGGUUAAUUCUUUCAUAAAAACACCCAUAGAUGAUUAGGAUAAAGUCCCUAUACUUAGAAAUAAGUUUGGAAAGAAUUGGAUCAAAGAAAAUUGCAUUUUUAAGGUUUUUAGAAAGACAGCUUCGUGGCACGUUGGUUUCCCAUCGUGACACGAUUUUUCUAGGAUCAGAAAGACUGAAAUCCUUAUCAAAAUCGUGGCACGUUGGCCCCGAAUCGUGGCACGAUCAUAGUUUGACAGACAACACCAGAUUUUCAACCUUCACAUUUUCGCGCAUAAAAAUCGAAUUGUUAAUCCGUUUUCGAUGUCGUUUUCACCUACGUGUUCAUGACACUUAGCCCUAUCUGAAUGUACAGAAAAAUUCAAGUUUCAACAACCCUAAAUUCAUUUUCCAAAGCCUUACACAACACUCAUUUUUUCCAAAACGGUUAACAAUUGAAUUUUCACCCGAAACCCUCGAUUUCUCCCAAACGACUCGACUAUCACAACUACAACAUAAAAACAGAAAUUCCAUCAAGUUUAACUCAUCGAACCACAUAGACAACUCAGUCAACAACUUUGUAUAUCAAAUUUCACUUUGGGUCCUUGACAUGAACAUCUAGCACAACUUGACCAAUACAAACAACCAUUUCAUAAAAUGGAUUACCCAUGGUAUCAUUCAACAAUAACGACAUACCUAAUUCAACAACAUUUCAUUUAGACAUGAAUUCAACCAUAAUUCAACAACACAAUAUCACAAUCGAACAAUUUGAGCAAAACUCAUAAGUAGCCAUUUUCACCAAACCAACAACAACAACUUAUUUCUCAUAACAAAUCAUGAAUCAUGCAUACCCAAGCCAUGAAUAAUCAUCCACAACGUCACUUAGCAAUAACAACAUCAAUUGAUCAUGAAACUUAUCACAAUUCAUCAACAACAUAGCAUAAUUCACCAAUUGAGCAUAUUUUCAACAUAUAUCAAUUUCUCAUACUUUGAACAUGUAAUUCAACUAACCACAAUUCAAUUAUCCAUAACUUCAUACAUCUAAACAUGGCAUCAUAAUUAGAGCACGAAUUUCAUCAUUUAUGAACAAUUAAUCAAUUCACCCAAUUAAGCACUUUUCAUACAAAUAAUUGAAAAUUGAAAUAAGUGAUUAUGAUGAAUUCUAACCCCCUUACCUUAGUUAGGUUAAUCUCUCUAGCUUAGACUUCAAUUUUGCGCCUAGCUCUUCUCCCAAUCCUUGAUUCUUUAAGUCCUCUUCUCUGUACCCUUUUCUCCUCUUGCUCCCACUUUCUCUCUCUAUGCUCUCAAAAAUAUCUUAUGAAUAAAAGUGUGAGGAAAUUUCUCAUAAGUGUAGGUUUUUAUACCAAGUCCCCUUAAUGGGCCUAACCUUCAACUUAAUGGACUUAACCCAUUUCUAUUCACAUCUAAAAUGUUUCUACACUCUAAUCGGUAAUUCACUAAUAACGGUCAAAUAACGGUAAAAUAUCACUAACGGUCACUAAACGGUAAAAUCUUAAUUUUACUCUAGUAAUUUAGUAAACCAACUAUUCUUACUAACCACUAAAAGUAAUUCUCACCAAAACUUAUAAUUUUACUCGUUCUCACAAAAUGAUCAAAAUACCCUUAAGUCCAAAAUGACUAAAAUACCCUUCUAACACGGAAACCCACAAAAAUGCACCCAAUGACGAAUAAUCACACACAAACACAUAAAACACAUAAUAAAAGUAAUUAAAAUAAAUCUAACGAAAAAUCGGGUUGUUACAUUUAUUAGGUACAACAAUAAUCAAGCAUCAUCCCACUAAGUGGGGUCAGCUAGAUGGAUCAAAUUGAAAUUAUGUCAUAGUUUUCUAUAAUAAACCAUAUUUGGAUCCAACCCAUUGACCUCUAAAUCCUUUUUAAUGGUCCCUCUUAUAGCUUUCUUAGGUCUUCCUCUACCUCUUUUGACCUGAAUCUCCUCCAUCUGAUCUACUCUAAAUCCUACUUACAACGGCAUCUGCAGGUCUUCUCCCUACAUGUUCAAAUCUUCUAAGUCUAUUUUCUACAAACUUUUCUAUUAUAGAUGAUACCUCACUCUCUUCCUAAUGGUGUCAUUCAUAAUCCUAUCCCGACUAUUCUUACCGUCCAACAACAUCGCAGGUCUGACUGAUGUUCGAUAAAAAAUUUCGAUAAAAUUUUCCUUCCAACUUAAGUGGUACUUUCUUAUCACACAAAACACAUGAGACUCUUUUUCAUUUCAACCGCCUAGCUUAAAUACGAUGAUUUACAUAUGCUUCUAUUUCUCCGUCAUUUUUUACUAUGGAUCCAAGAUAUUUAAACCGUGUAACUUAGAAUAUUUAAACUGUGCUUAUUAGGUACUACUAUUAAAAAACUAUAAAUGAAUAAUAUGUACACGUGUGACCCAUUUAAAUACUUAAAAAUGAGUGUCUCCAUUAUGAAUGCUCUAAUAUUGGGACUGAGAUUCCCUGUUGUAAAAAAGCACGAUGUUUUACCGUAGUUUUGCAUCUCAACCGUUAAUUGUAGAUCUUACAGUUUAAAUUAACUCAGUUGUCAAAUUAUUUUAAACAAUCUCGACCACACGAUUUAGAUCGAACAGUCCUAAACUGUUACGGCAGGAAAUCCAGAUCCUUGAUAGUAGUGCAUUCUUAAAAAGCACAUUGUUGUAGUUGGGACAUUUAGUUUUUCGAGAUCCAGAUCCUCUUUUCAAAUUACUAGAUGCAUUUUUUUUCUUCUUAAACAUACCACUUAAUUAAUACUACUAACCAGACUUAAAAUAUGAAAAAUUAAAUUUAAUACACAUAUAAACAAAUGACAAUUUGGUAAUAUUAACACACAAAACAGACACAUCAACUACAUUGAUAUUUUUUCUUAAGAAAUGUGAAAAAAAACAAAGAGGCUUACAUACCGGGAUGGAUAGAGUAUUAUAUAGAUAUAAAUCGAUUUUUGAAUUUGUUCUCUUUUUUUUUUCGUUAAUUAUUUUUGUUGCUGAAAAAUAACAGAUUGCAUGAACAACUUAUUUUUAAUUAAGUUGUUCUUAUGUAGUUCACAACCAAAACUAGGAUUUAUGUGUCUGCUCCGUUAUUUGAUCUGAGACUUAUCAUCUGUGUCUGGAACUAUAAUAAAUCUAAUUUAAAAGUGAGCUUCAUCCAUAACCAAAUAAAUAAGCAUAUGCACAAACAAGAUGAUUAAAAAUGAUUACUAAGUCUCUAAAUCACACCAAAAUAACAUCUUUAUUACAUUGUUUUGCAUCUAGAACUAUAAUAUUAUAGUUGACAUAGUUUUCCCACAUGUAUAAUACAUGAAAAAAUAGGCCACAACUUGUUAUGGUGUUGCAGUCAAAGGCACCCAAACUAGAUUAUCAGGAGGGAAGAAAUGACAUACUGGAGAGUUUCCAGGUUUUACAUUAAGCACACGAAAGGCGACAUGAUCGGCAUCCCAUUUAGAAGUAUCCAUGUGACAAAUUGCUGCAGCUUGAACAAUUCCUCCAUUUUCACCUUCUACUACAAUUUCAUACAAACUAGUAUCACCCUUUUGGCUGUGACAAUAGAAAACCGCAAAAGGGUAAGGCAUAGGGUGACACCCUACUGCAUUUGGAACUGAAAUUUCAUUCACUUUUGAAAUUGUGUAGUUCUGUAAAGGGAUAGAGGAUUUUGUGACAUGAGUUGUGGUCAAAACUUUGAAUUUUGAGUUGGGUCCAAACAUGUAAUUUGCAAAGUCAAACAAAGACUCUAAUGAUGUAGCACAGAAUUUUGUCUCUCCUUCCAUAGGUUCAAAAUUGCACUGUUCAAGUGUGUAUUUCAUGGCUUUGGCUUGUGGAGAGUUUUUUGAGAUGGAGAAGAAAUCUAGAAGGAAAGGUAGUUUUUUUGGUGUGAAAGGAAUUUUGUUAGCUUCUUCUUUUGGUAGGAAUUUUGGAGCUGUUGAUGAAUCUUUCUUGGAAAAAUAAAUUGGCAUUAUUUUUCCAACUUUUAAAUCCUUUGGAACGAAAAACACGUUCAAUUCAGGGUCUAUUUGAUUGUGAUGAUCCUUUGAAAUGAUCUCUUUGUGUUCAUCUUUUUUAUUCAUUUCUACAUGAUCAGAGUUUUCAAC